UUUUCUUUCUUUCUUUUUUUGUGUUAAACAAUUUAUUGGGAAGUAUCUAUAUAUGUAAUCUGGUCUCUUGAAAACAAAUUACGACGACUCCGCGUUCGGUUUGUUUGUGUAUCGCCCAUGAUCUGUAUUCGGAGACAUCGAGACGAGACGAGACAUCGGACAACUUAAUGCGCGCUGCGAGAAACGGCGAAACGGUAUGAAAAAAAAAAAAAAUAAAUAAAUAAAUAAAUAAUAAAACAGUUCGGGUCGGAUGAAUUACUACACCGCUACUACUGCAUACUAUUAUUAUAUAUUUACUUUAACGUCAAAAAAAAAAAAACUACUUUUUUUUUUUAACUAGUCGUAAACAAAGUAUAUUGGUAUAAGGAAAACGUGUAUCCCGUUUAGACAAAAUACAAUUUUAUGAAAUUUAAGCGAUAAAAAAAUCGUCGGAUAAUCGUAAUAUUAUUAUAUUUUUCUAUCGCUGGGUAAUAUAAUAUGCUAAACGCUGCGCGCUGAACUUUUAUAUAAGUGUAAUAUUUUUCGCCAUAUGUCACACGCGUGUAUUAUGCAAUAUUUUAUGUACCUAAUAUAAAAUACUGUCACUAAUGCGCGUUCGAUAUACAGUAAUUUACGACGACGGAGUAAAAUUGUUUUUUUUUUUUUUCGAAAAUAUUCAUACAUACGUAUUAUAUAUGAUUAUAACAAAAUAAAAAUAUAUAUUUUCUAACAUUCUGCAGACUCCGGGGAUAAACUGUUGCGGCGCUCGAUAUCGAUUGGAUAUUAAUCUUCCGGUCGUGUCGCAUGCGAUAUGCUGCGAAGAGAAUUUUCAUUUUUUCUAAUAAUUUGGUUCGCGUUUUCAGACGUGCUUAUUACGUGCGAAAAAAUGAAAACCGACCGUUUACGUGCACCGCGGGUAGGUCUGCACUGGUUUGUUUGUGACACGGGAAGUGUCAACACACGACACAACGCAGUUUAUAUAAGUAAAAUAAACUGAAACCUAAUAGCAAUCAAAAAUCGGUUCCAAGCAAAGUUCGUGGAACUGUAAGUUAGGUAAGGUUAAGAUAACUACUCAGAUGUCAAAAAUUUGAGUAUGCCAGCCCGGGUUCGAAAUUCCAGAUAUUUUUGUGCUUCGAUUCCUAAAAGCAUAAAAACUCUGCCCGACAGAUUGUAGAAUCCGGAUAGGAUCAUGGUCCGUAAUAGGCGAUUGUAGUCAAAAAUCGUCUAAGUCGGUAUGCAGACCCAUGACAUGUUUUAAAGUAGGGAAUUUCGAUAAUUUUUGUCGAUUUAUGUUUCUCCCGCAUGGGUAUACCAACACCACUUCUGAUGACAGCACGUCGCGAAUAUUAUUCUUUUUUUUACGCGUGUCUCAUCAAAAGCCGAGACAGAAAUUCAUCUCCGUUUCAGAGAGUGGCGGGUCAGUAUUAUAUAAGGAAAAAAAAAAAAAAAAAAUAACGAAAUUGUACACAAUCGUCACGGUCGGGGGCUUGGUCGAGGCCAGCCCCGCGAUGACGACGACCAAACGGGCGCGAUGGUGGUGACGACGACGGUGUGUAUCGACCGGACAGAACCACCGCCUCUGCCACUGUCAUAGCCGUCACAUCGACGGAUUCAUCUCUACGGGCCCCCGAAAAAAAAGUCUCAAAUGACGCCGACCGUGAUACGUUGGCUGUCGUCCGCAUCUUCGGCCGAAUAAUGUAAACCUAAUAAUAAUAUAUUAUGAAAACCGAUGGUAGAUCCGAUGUAACCAUAAAAAUUGGCUCCCUCCCGGUAGAUUAGAUUAAAAGAGGGGGGGGGGAGGGAAAAAUAUCACGGCAGACAAUAUUUAAUGGCAUACAGCCGUUAACGAAAUUCGAUUUAGGGAUGUGUUGACUUUGGACAAUACUCACAAUUUGAAUGCCUUAAUAAUAACAAAUAAAUGUAUUUAUUUUUUCGUCCUUUGAUCAUUAUACCAAUACUAAUAAUUAAUCUAAUGAUUAAAAUAUAACGGUAACCGCGUAAUAAAACAGAUACAAAAAAAAAAAAAAACUUAAGAAAUUUAGUUUAAAAUUAAAAUUAAUUAACCGUUGAAUAGUCGACUCUGUUGUCUAAAUGUCCACGUUUUAUGGAGUCAUAUCCCCGCACAUGCAACUCACACACAUCGUAGGCUUUGCCCGAAUGAAAAAUACGAGGGGCUUCUAUAAUAUAAAUACUAUUGUGCAGUGUACAGUCUCCAAACUGAGGGAGCUGGAGAUUUUGUUUUGUUUUUUGACACGUUUUAAGUAGGGAGAAACGAAUUUUAAGUCACUUUUGCGUUUAACUUAUUUUUUACUGUUAAAAUCUCAGUCCUGGUUACACUAAUAUUAUUGUUGUGUAAAUUCUGAAGGAACGAUAGGCUGCGAUUGUUAAACUGUACGGAGUCGACUGUACUCAUUUAUCACAUGCAGAAAUACAAACUAAGAGUCAUUGAAAAUUAUCAAUAUUCCACGGAAUAGUGUUAGUAUUUCUAGUUCUUCGCCUAUUUAGAAAUAAUAGAACACCGACCGUUUUUUUCAAAAAGGGAAAAUAACAAGGGUACCGUUUUAUUUAAUGCAUCCGAGUACUGUACAAUAGUAAUAUAUUAAAUAAAGUAAUAACUAUAGUAAAUAAAUAUAUAAACACAAAUUUAUAUUUAAAAAUAAAAUAAAUAAACGAAUCUAUGCAUCGCCUGAAGUAUUAUGAUAAGUACGUUAUACGACCGGUUGCGAAUUAAAAAUUCAUCAUCUGGUAUAUCACAGACAAAAUGUUAAACGUGACUCCAGGUGACUCAUUGAUUCAUUUAUUUAUUUUAUUUUAGUUUGUGAUUGUAACGAAGAAUGUAUUGGUUUUACUAAGAUUAUAUUAUUUUUUUAAUCCUAUGUACGAAAAUUCGACCAUAAAUCUUGUUCAGAUGAAAACACGCAGCACCAUUUUUGAAAGAAAAUGUUGUUUAGGUAGUAAUUUCGGGAGGUUUUUUAUUAAUUUUCCAAGUGGUUUUCAGAAUAUCUUGGAAAAACCAGGAUAAGACGUAAAAAACGAAAUAAACGAAGUUAAUGCUUUUAUUAUUUUAUACAUUUUGUUAUUUGUUAUAAUUCAGUUAAAAAAAAUUCGUAGUGACUUGAAAUUGACUUCACUUACAUUUGCGUUUUCUAGACGUGGUAAAAUUUUCAAAAUAUUUGAGACAUUUUUGAGCUACUGAUAGACAUUUUAAUUUUGCGAGUAAGUAUGUAAUUUUUAUUCGGUAGGUACUCCGUGGUAAAAUUGUUAAACUUAACAGAAAUGCUUGAAAAUUUAAUAGGAAGUUUAUUAAAUUAUACUUUUCGGUAAAAAAAAAAAUUGAGUUAAAUAUAGUAUUUUUUUUUUAUAAAGGAAUUUCGAUACUGCAUUUUGGUGAAAAUUGUUUGAGUAAAAGAUUAUGUGAACAAAUUUAAUUUUUCAUUUUUUUUUUUUUUCAAAACAGGUCUAUUGUUGAUUUAAGAAGGAUGGUAAAGUCGAAAUUGAGUAGACUGUCUAAGUUUCGAAAUUAUAGCUUUUUGAAGUACAGAUUUUACAGGUUUAUGUUAAAUAGCUAAAUAAUAAUUACGUUUUUUUUAAAUAUAUAUUUGUUGUAGUUGAAUGGUCAUGAAUACAUAUUGGCAUACUAGUGGUCGUGAGAUUGAAUCCGGGAUUUUAGAAAUUGUUUGCACUUUUUUAUUCCUCUUUUAUUUAAAUAGGAAAGAAACAAAUGCAUUUUAAGUUUACCUAGAGACCUAGCUGUUGUCCGCUCGGACGAUUAUAAACGAAAAAUAUCCCUCGAUUUGUUGUGCGAACUUUUCAACCAACUAUUUUGGUCUGAUUUACAUUGAUAGCACUUUUUAUUUAAGUAAAUCUGACUGGGAAGGUACUUCAAGGAGGUCAUUUUUCGAUUUUUCCGAUAUUUUUUUAAGCAAAUGUGAUAAUCCGGGAAAAAACAUGGAAAAACCGGGAAAAUCGAUACAAUAUUAAACAAAUAUUAUUAAAGAAAAAACAUGCCUAUUUCAUUAUUUUACCAUAGUAUGAUAUGUGUAUAUAUAUAUUGUUGACAAAGCAUCAUUAUCAACUUGACUGCGCUCAGAAUCUUUUUUUUUUUCGUUAGAAAUGGUUUAUCGUUGCUUACAGAUAUACAUUAAAUUACCUUUAACAGUGGUGGCUGCACCCGUCUCCAUUUUCCUAGGACGUAUUUUUUAUACAUAUAUUUAUUUACUAAAUGUAUUACUUUAUUUAUUUACGAGUAUUAACCAUUUUAAUAAUUUUGUUUUUACUUUAUUGUUUUAUUAAUAAGAUAUUGGUGACCAAUGUUAAUGGUUUCACUCUGUAUACUAUACUAUAGUACCGAGUUAUCGUCAUUAUUAUUCCCCUUCUCUAGAGAUUCCCGGUUUAAUGUGGUAUAGAAUAAAAAAAAAAACCCGACCAUUUAAAACGCCGCCGCUUGUCGACGAUUUAUUUAUUUUUUCCUCCUACCCACCUAUGACACUACCCUAACCCUGCCACUACUAUGUUGGAGUGCUGAAAAUUCUGUCACAGUCGAUAAUUAGCGAGCAUUCCGCCACCGCCGCGGCCGCCGCCAAUUCCCACGAGGCUUCUUUAUACACCGGUUCACCGGCGCGUUGCAAAUAUUAUAAUAAUUUGGUUAUUAAUUGCGUUCUAUACAACGCUAUUGUUCUUUCCACACAAUUAUUAUUUCUAGGCUGUAGUAACAUUAUUUUACGCAUCAAUCGAUUAUAGGUUAAAAUAAUAAUAUUACACGCGAGUAAAUCGAAUAUCGAAAAUACGGACGGGACAUGUCAGCUGACCAGUGAAGACCGAAUUGUACAGUCACCAAUAGUUUAGAUGUUAUUUCGUGCCUCAUUUAUUCGGCUCCGUGUGCGACUACGUACACAAACAUAUUUCGCUCGCUAUCAGUUCGGCGCCGUAAAGAUACAACGGUCUCAGCGGGUGCAUAUGCCCAUUGUCCUUGUAAUAUGCAUAACAAUAGACGGUUUAGACUGAUGUUUAAGUUUGACGCCAGCCACCAUGUAUGCGCGGUGGCGGUCAAUGGUUACGCGAUCAUCUUAUCAAUACGGCUUGAUAAUAAUACGAUCUGAAACGGGUUUGUGGGGCUUGAUGUUUAUUUCGACCUCUCUCAUUGAUGACUGAACACAGAUAAUAAGAACGCUUACACGUUCAGUACAUUAAGCGUGUAAUGUCACGUUUAUUAUCUGUACUAUUAUAGCACAAUAAUUAUUGAUCCCCCCCCCUCCCUAAAGUCGCGCGGAAUAAAAUAUAAGAACACGGAAAAAACAGCUUAUUUCCCGCGUUUUCACAUUCAUCCUUCCUUCACAAGUUCAGGGAUCUUAUCAUCCGUAAUCAUCUGGGGUCGUAUUCUGUGUGAUUUUUUCGAGUCACGGCCUUAAGCCUAUUUUAAGGAACUCGGGCCUACAAAAAAAAAAAAAAAAAAAAACCAUAUAUAUAUAUAAAUAUGGGCCUCGGAAAAGCCGAGUACGGACCUGGAGAUCGUUUAAAUAUUAUAUAGUUAAAGAUCCGAAACAUUAAAAAUACCUUGUAUAUUAUUUGUUUGCACACUAAUACGUGUGGGUAUACAAAUAAAAAAAUAUUGAUAAAAUAAUUAAGUAAAGAGAAAAUCAUUUGGUUAAUACUCGUAAAUAAAUAUAUAAAUAAAAAUAAAAUAAAUAAAUGAGUCAAUGUGUCGCUUGGAGCAUUGUGAUAAGUAUGUUAUACGACCGGUUUCGAACUAAAAAUUCAUCAUCGGGUUUAUCACAGUCAAAAUGUAAAACGCGAUUUAUUUUUAAACAUACGUUUUUUUAUUUUUAUAUUUAUUCACUGUGUUUAAGAAUACAUUGUUUUAUAAGUUACAAACGUAAAAAAAAAAAAAAAAGGACAAACGUUAAUUAUCAAUCUUCGGAUUUUAUAUUAUUUAAGUACAGUCAGUAAGGAAUGCGUUUUUAAACGACUAAUUAAACAAUAAUCGACCGUUACAUGCAGGGUAGCGUGAAACUGUUCAAGUAACGAACACAAUAACAAUAUAAUAACAAUUCCCGCGGGGUCGUAUCGUUCAACUCCGUAUCGAGGGGUAGGAGGUUAUUUACGGAGGUGUGAAAGAGGUGAAAAAAUACUAUUAUACUUGGAUUUUAGUCGUAUAUAUAAAAAAUACGUGAAACAAUAAUAAUAUCCUUUAAUUGCAUUAUUAUAUUGUUACUGUGGUGUAUUAUUAUAAUAACUCUAUCGCAGCGUAAUAAUAUUGUAAUUUAGAUUAUUACGUGUUUGUUGUAUGCGCACGGAUAGUAAAGGUAUUACAAUUGUUAAACGCACCUUAUCUAUGUGUGCCCAGAGAUGUAAUUAUUGUAAUUAUUAUUACUAUUUUUUGUUGAAAAUGCCAGAGAAACGCAUCUAAACACACAUGGUAUGUUAGUGAUUAAAUCUUGAAUUCGGGCCGGGGAAUGAAAUGUCUCUGAAAAUAUUACCAAUACUCAGUGUCUUCAAAUCUGAGCACUGAAUCGUUAUAAUAAUAUAAAUUACGGACAAUUAUUUCCGUUCGAAAAUUGACUUUCAUAGAUACUAAUAAUAUACUAUACAAUAUAUUCAAAGAGAACUACGAUAAUAGUUAUUUGAUUAUAAAAUAUCGAAAAUACUGAUUGUGUUUCACAAUGACAAUUUCGACAAACGCAAUAAAUUUUGUUUUGUUUAAUAUUCAUUUUUUUUUCGAAUUCCUACUAACUGAAGAAUUGCCCUAUGAUUCCUUCUUUUUUUUGUAUUUUAAUAUUUUGUUUGAAACUAAAAAUAAAACAUAUUUUUAAACGACAUUUUGGUGUAACAAAUAUUUACUAAUAAUGAAUCCGUUAUGCUUCUAUAACAUGUUAAAAUAUACAAAAAUCAUUUACAAAAUAAUUAUUCAUGGACAAAUUGAUAAAUCGAUUUAUAUUAGUUUUUAAAGUUUAAGAUACUUUAAAUUUUUUUAAUUGGUCACUAUUAAAUAAUAUCAAUCCGUUCAUACAUGUUUCCACGAACAGUAUUUUCGUUCAAGAGCCAUGACUUCUGUAAACUUCGAGAAAGUUUAGAAACUUAUUUAAUAUUAUUUAUAACACCAACAAUUUGUUUGAAUUAUAGAUUCAAAGAUAAAUAUAAAACAGAAAGAAUAAUCAUUAUGAAUUAUUACAAAAAAAAAAAAAAAAAAAAUAAGAAAAAAAAAGAAAUAUAUUUACAAAUAUUUAACUGAACAAAAGUUAUUGCAUUUGACAUACAUUUGUGGGACAUUCCAUAUGCGUAUAUACAUAGGCAUAUUAUAUUCAAGUAAUAUGGGACGAAGGAAAAACUUUGAUAUAAAUUUAAUUUAGAAACAAAUUAAUUGUUAUGUUCUAGCAGCGUGAUUAUUAUUGAUAUUAUAAUUGGAAUAGCAAUGUUAACUGAUAAGAUAUAUUAUUUUACAGUAUUGAUUUAAAGUGUCGGUUUUAUAAAAUUCCGGUUCGGUUUCCAUUCAAAGCAUUACCCCUUGUCUUCACAACGGCGGCGGAAGUUUAAUAUACAUCAGUUUUAUCACGGGGGACAAAGAGAACCCCAAUAAAAUAAUUAAAAAAAUAAAUCCUUUGGAAAUACGUGAAAAAAAUUGUAAUUGGUCUGGUUCAUUGUGCGAUGUCAAAAAGGUACGAAUCUGCGAACAAAAAUUAACAUUUCUCUCUACAUAAUUUAUUUCUAUUUUUACUCCGGUACGUAUAAUAAACUUGAUAUUUUUUUUCCCCGUCCUUACACCCGCUUUUCUUAAUAUAAAAUCUAUACGGCACAACAAAAAUAACGACCGUAUUAGAUUAGGUUUUCGUAUUCAGCUCCGCUUUUCAUACCUAGCUCUAAAUGCAUUACACGAUUUAGUUUAUCGAUUCUUUUUUUUUUCUGUAGUUCGACGCGUUUAUUAAAAAUCGUUCUACAAGUUAAAACGAUCUGGUGCGUUGAUCUGUAAAAACAAGAGGAAGGCUAUAAUUGUCUAUGUUUCCUUCCAAAAUUCAAUUCUCAAAGUGUCGUUCACCACAUGGUUUUGAUUAACCAAAUACGGACAUUGUUAUGUUUUAUUAUUUUUUUAAUUUCAAAAAUAAGGAAAAGUGAUAUCAGGCAAUAUCAAAAUUAUAAUAUAGUUUCUAUACUUAUUGUUGCCACAGUGCAAAUAGAUAUUUGUGAGCGAGACAGAUAACACAGAAUAGCCCGUGUAUAUAAUGUGUACAUAUUAUAUAUCUUAACCAUUAUGUAUUCAUAUUAUUGUAAUUAGUGUAUUAAUUAUGUAUUUGAAAGCUAAAUCGAUGGUGUUUUGUUCAAAGGGCGUAUGCCACUAAAAAUCGAAAAACACGUUUUUGGUAUCGGCAAAUCAGAAUAAUUAGGAACACAGACCGGUAAAAGGGCGUAUUUAAAUACCGAAAAUUAAGUUGGUAAUUUCGACUAAAAGAUAUCCCGGUGCCAUUUUAAAAUGUAAUUAAAUCAACACUGAUCCGAUAAAAGGGCGUAUGCCACAUUCAAUGCAUGCGUAUUUUGACCACAAUGUAUUAUGUGUACGAGUAACUUUAUUUUUGUUUUCCAUGAUAAACAUCGUUAACAAUUGUUUUGCUGUUGUUUUGCAAAACCGUAUUUAUUGCUUCCCGAAUAAUGGUGAAAUUUGAUAGAAGCCGUUUAACAAAACACUGUUGAUGUAUGAUCGACGAAUCACAAUAAUUAUUCUAUUCUCAUUCUAGCUUUGUAUAACCGAGGAUCCGCCUACUAUAACACAUUCGUUUGACGGUUUUCUAUACAGAAAAAAAAAAAAAAACGAUAAUAAGUCGUACGAUUAGAAUGUAUUUUUUCAAAAUUUGCCAAAUUGUAUUUUACGUAUGUACAGAUGUAACCAUUCGAGAACACGCAGAAACCUCGGUAACUUUCAUCGUAACAUUUAAUAUUACGUGCAUUGCGCAAACAAACAAUACGUAUACGUAAAUCCGGCGAAAUCGUAUAACCGUGGUAUAGGGUUAUAUUAUUAUAUUAUUAUGAUAUACAAUACCGAAUGCGUCAAGAUGCACAAUACUGCGCUGCAGAACGCAUAAUAAUAAUAAUAAUAAUAUUCGUAUUGUGUAUAUACCUGCGUGUUGCAAUAAAACGUAUAAAGCGAUGCGUUUUUGAUGGCAAAAAAAUUUGAAUUUUCCGUAGUGGGUUCCGGGUGUACUUGUAGCGGCGGAACGGCGCGGCGGUCGGGUCUUUGAUGUUGUCGGAGAAUUCAAGAAACAAUGGGUUAUGUUAUUAUGGUCGAUAUUCCGUACACGCGCGAAAAUAAAACGGCUCGCUGUUCUGCAGAAAAAAUAAAUAAAAAAUACUUACUAUAAUACUGUUCACAAAUCCGCGUAUGUAGGUACAUGACCACCGACCUUUUCACGCAUGUUUCGACUUUUCUCGCCCGCGGCAACGGUGCUUAUACGAAUCUACUGCAGCGCAGAGAACGCGAUAUUUCCUCGUCAUAUUCACUAUUAUGCAUAACAUAAGGAGGGAAAUCUCCGAGAAAAAAAUCUUUAGACAAAUCGGAAUACGUUCUGGUGGGAUUAAUAACGUCAGUUUUUAAAAUAUUUUUUUUUGCUUUUUCAAUGUUAUUAUUUAUAAAAAAAAAAAAAAACCGAAAAUAAUGAUUGCAUUUUUCCCUCGAGUUAAAACGAUAUUUUCCGGUAAGUAACAUUUUUUUUUCUUUGCGAAAAUGGUAUUUUUUUUUGUUUUUCUUUGAAUUUAUUUAUUAUUUUAAAGUUUUCUGACUUUUCCGGUAUUUUUUUCCCCGACUUUGCAAUUGUUUGUUUUUGAUAAAAAAAAAACCACUGCAAACGUCGUUUCCCAAAUCACUGAAAAACUUUUACGAUAACAUUUUAGUAAAUGAGAAUAUGAUGUUACAGUACAGUUGUUCUGUUAUAUAAGUAUAAAUGAAUUAAAAUUGUAUUAAAAAAAAAAAAAAAUCAAAUUCAGAAAUCUUCAAAAAUGUCUCCAAGUAGAAACCUUUUUGCGUACGGUUACUACCAUUGCUAACCUAUCAUCUCUCUUACUUGCUCAAUUGACAUAAUAUUAUUUUUUUGUUUUUGAUAAAACGUCUCGUUUUGAACGAGCUUUCACCGAAACUUUGAUUUAUUAUUGACGUGUAUUCGACGUUGAAUAAAUUACGGCGGUAAUUUACUUUUUAAACGACAAAAGUCUAAAAAAGCAAACUUCGAUUCCAUUUUAUGUUUAACGUAAUGUAUGAGAGGGGGAUGGUGAAUAACGCGUAGAUAACAUACAAAUAAUGUUUAAAAUAAUAUUUUGACGAUAUCUCCAAGUGAUUGUAAGAAUAUCGAAUCAAAUUCGAUUAGGUUAUAAGUCAGGUAUUAUUAUAGGUUAUCGUUUGAUCAUUUUCGUUAAAUUAAUUACUCGCCAUUUAAAACACAUAUUCGAAUAUUAUUACGCAGACCGAGACGGUACGGACUCGACACGCACGAUCGAAAUGUGAUCAGGAAAUGUAUAUAGGUUACCGGAUGUCACGAUUCCAAUUCACUCUCAACUAUCAUCAGAGGAUACGUUCUAAAUUUUUUUUUUUGUAGUUCUUGGAGAAAUUAGCCAGUCACACCGUCUCGGUCUCGAAAUGAUCAUCAACGGACCGGUUGGGUAGGGGACGGCGGUCCGGCCACGAUAAUUUCUGAUCGCGCCUCCGACAUCCGCCUACACUCGAUCGUGUCCAGUCCGUAUCGUCUUAUUCCGCGCUAAGAAAUCUACCGGGGUAAAUCGCCGGUUUCCGAUAAGCGGAUUACACCGAAUGGGCGCGUGCCGUCUAAAAUGUCUGACGGAACGAAAGAAAAAUAAAAAAAAAAAAAAAUAACCGUAAUUCCCCGCUGACGAAACGCCGGUCGAUUUUGAAAAGUACGCGUUUUUUAUCCUCCCAAUGCGACGGGAACACAAUAUCGCGAGGCAAUCGUGUCAUCGGUGCCCGCGUCCGUAACACCUACACGCGCCUACCCGACGCCGGUGACAUUAAAACCGCGCGAACUCUUGCGAAACGAAGGGGAACCCGGUGUCUUACGGUCACGUGUUUGGCGUGGCGGUCCCGGUGCACUCGGUUUUUAAACGACCGCAGUGGUAUGUCCAAGGACGGAGAACGGGACGGAUGCGACCCGGUUUUCGCGUUUAUUUAUAUUUUUUUUACCGUAAAUAUAUACACGCGAGAAACGGGGACCGCGCGGCAACACGGCACGUGUAUAAGUGCGCAUGUGUACUUAUAUUAUAAAUGUACACAUAUACGCGUGUAUACGCAUAAAAUAUGAUUGCAAUACUUUUAUGCUCGUAACACAAUAUCGCGUAUCAUCUAUUCUUCACGACAAUAGCGCUCGUACGCACAGUUCGUCCGGGAGUUUUCGGUAAAACGAGUCCGUACGACCACGCGUCGAAUGCGUGAAUUCAAUUUCGCGCGUAACAUUUGCGGCGGCGGCGGCGGCGGCGUUUAUUUUAGCGUUUAGCCGUACGCCGUCGGUUCGUCCGCCAACGGAGUUGUAAUUUCCAUACGAACCCCCGUGCAAUAUCAAUUAUUUCGCGUUAUUCCGCCGCCGUACACGCGUCUAAUAAUUCACGUAACUUUAAUUUUCCGUUAUUUUACAAUAUCAGCCAGUACACCGCCGCCGUCUCGACCAGGUCCCGACGAUAUUUAAAUAUUUAAUAACGGUCGAUACGAAGUCGCCUCAAUUCAAACCGAACAGUGGGGAAGAAAAUAAUCAAAUAGCGGACGGGUAAAGCGCAUAAUAACGAGUUUAGUUGCAAGUACAAUUGACAACAACCACGAUAAACCACUCGGCGUCGCGUUAUUGCAAUGCAACUACACUAUACUGCACCGGUACGCGCGUCUGCGCGCGUAGACAACCGGAAAUGCAACGUUGCUGUCGAAUUUUUCCCCGGGAACGCACGCCGUCGCGCCGUAUUGUGAUCGUCGCAUUAUAUCUUUUCGCCGCCUGGACACGUUUAGCGGCUUCGUCCGGACGAAAUGAGCUCGAACCCGGGAAUUACAGUUACGUUUUAACAGUGGAAUUUUAUCGCCUCAAUCUCGGUUGAAUUCUUCAACGGACUCCGCCGUAUUGUUACGGGAAAACAACAGAGUUGUUUUGACCGUCGUUAUACCCUUGCAGACCUGCCGCCCGUGACCCGAGAGACGGCAUUAUGUCACUGUCGCGUAACCGUCUAGGACGAAUCGUUCGGGAGUCUCAAAUUUCUAACCCGUGCCCGGUUCAUAUCUAUGCUCAGAUAUCUUGGUAUGAAGUGAUAGACUGGGGUUUUAAACGUCCCCACAGGCUACAACGCGAUUCAAAUCCGACUGUUGUAAAUAAAUAAUCAAUAAAUAGAGAAACGAACCAUCGUAACGGCGACAAGUCCGCUGACGGAAAAUUUCACGCGGAGAUCUGCUGUUCAAAAGUGUUUAUAUUCGUCAACGAUAAAAACGAAAUUCGUACCGCAAUAAUGCAUAAAAUUGUACAUUUGUACGCCAAUAAAAUGUUAAGUUAAUCGCUUGAACAAAAUCUAACAAGUUAACGUCACGCUGUAAGUUAAUUUGGAAAUUUAAUUUAGUUAACUAAACAAUUUAUUUGUAAAACGGCCACAUUUUUAAAUGAAUUCGUCAUUUUCAGUUUAACAAGGCUCGAGUAAUAAUUAUAAGAAAAAAACGAAAUCAAAAACAUUGAACAGAACCACCAGAACCAGAGUUAUCGGAUUUGUCAGAUCUCCGCGGGACACUAUAUUAUGUUCAGCCGUAAAUGUCGAAUAUUAAAAUUCCAAUUGAAAAAAAAAGAUAUAAUUUUUUACUAUAUCUAUAUAGUAUACUUGUUAUUAUAUUUGAAAAUUGCGGUUUUUACAUUAUUGGCACGUAGGCGUAUCGUAAUAUCGUAUUACUUACCUACUAAGGUCGGGUACCUAUGCUAUAAAAACGUCGGCGAGCGAGAGACUCGGGUUUAAAUUACUAUAAAGAUAAAACAAGAAUGCGGAAUUUUUUUUUUGUGUGUUUUUGUACUUGACGCACUUUCGGAACGAAUUCGUAAUUAUUGUUAUUAUUAUUAUUGUUCGGUACAGCGCAGCGUACGGGAACACACAAAGGCAUAUAGCUGCUGAUUACGCAUUGUACUGCAUGCGUAUAGCGCUAUGUAUAUAGGAUAAGUACUUAAGUAGUGCACAAUGCAAAUUUGCUCUCCAAAGUAACAGUCUACAUAUGUGUACAAUAUAUAUACAUAUAUAUUAUACAUGUAUGCAAUGUAAUAUGCAAUGUAUGCAAAUAUGUGCAUAAUAUGCGUAAUAUGACAAUUUUAUAAACCUAGUUGGCGAGAACGACGACGACGAAGGUACCCGAUGAUAAUAAUAACAACGCAGGUUAGGUUACCGGGUACUUGUAGUUAUUUAUCUGAACAACAUAAUUCCUAGGGAACAUACGUAUAGUAGUGUAGUGCAGUGUACCGCGUAGUACCUAUAGACGAGUGGAUGAUACGUAAUGUGUGGAGAAUUUUCGAGUUAAUUUCCGUAACGAAAAAUGCGCAGCUAAACGUUAUAAUACGAUAAAUUGAGCGACAGAGGAGGAGGAAAAUGAAAUUCUAAAUAGUUCGUUUUAACGUAACGCUCGGCGUUUUAGAUUCGGAAUGGAGCAAAAAAUUGUGCAUCAAUAUUUCCCACGGACCGCAUGGUUUUACUUUUACAAUGAUAAAGUGUGCGCUUUUUUACCCUGUCUAUAAUCUAUUCGAGGAUGAUUUACCGUGGAUAAUUAUGUCGGAGUAAUGUGCGUUGAGUAGGAUUGCUUUUUUGUAGGAAACGGGGAGAACAAACGGGAAUAAUUACACGAUAACCUUGGAUUUUGGUUUUUUUGAUUUUUGCUGUAGCUCAUUGAAAAAUAAAUUUUAAAGCCCUUAGAAUUUACACCCAGUACUUAUAAAAUAUCUCAACGCUUUCUAGACGCGAUACAAUUUUCCAAAAAUUCUAACGUUUUAUAAGUUAAGAAUAGAUAUUUGAAACAGUUGGGUUUUUUUUUUUUUUUGGUGGGUUGGGAUUACAUUUUUGAAACGCUUAAUAAUUGCUCGUAAAUUUGAUAUGAGGGUUCUUAAAUCUUACGAUAAUCUAUACAAAUAUCGAAAAUCUGUAAAUUAUGUAUAUUUUUAUUGUUUCGGAAAUUUAACGCUUUAAGGUUUGUCAUUUGCUAAUAAACUCCAAUGAUAUUAGAACAUGGACACGGUGGGAAAAAAAAUGCUAUUAUACUUUUCAAAAUGUUAAUUUUUCGUUUUCGACCAUUAAAAUUAGUAAUUAAAACGUUUUUAAUGUAAAUAUAAUGGAUCUGAGAAAUUGAAAUAGAUGAAUUAUUGUCCGUGAUAGAAAUGGUAGAAUAUUGAAAUCAACAAACGCAAAAUAUUCCAAAUUAAUAAUUUUUAUACAAAUUUCCGUUGUAAUUCAUUGUCGGUUUUAAACGUAAUGUUAUUUUGAACGAUUCUUGGAAUGGAAAAUAUUAUUAUUCGGUGUUUUAUAAAACCACAAUCUGGGGUCAAUUCACUCGGUCCCGUGGUUAAUUUAAAAUGAGGUCUUUAUUUUUUUACCAUAUUAUAAUAUAGGAUGUUAUAAUACGUUUUAAUGGUUUUUUUUUUUAAGUCGAUAUUUAAAUAAUUUUAUCAUAUUGAAACUUUAAAUUAAAAUGCAUAAAACUACACGUCAUUAUUUAUUUGUGUUCAAAUAAAUAAAUAAAUAAUUAUAUUUUAACGUUAAAUUAAAAAUAUAAAACAAAACCACCGUAAUUUAUUAACUUCGCGUAAAAACCAAAGACUAACGUUUUGCUGUAAAAAAAAAAAAAAAAAAAAAUACUUUUUAAAAAAUUGGUUUUAAAAUUAUUUUAGCUUCAAUAGACCAGGAUAAAUAAAUAAAUGGGUACAUUUUUACUUAAUUUUUAGUGUUUCUUAGAUAUAUUCAUGUAUUCAUAAUCUAUGAUAGUCAAAAAUAUUUAGAGUUUUUUGAAUUACAAUCAAAUGACGCAGUUUUCUCGUAUUUUGACCAUAAUAUCUGGUCUUAAAUAUGUAUCUAAAAUUCGAUGUAAUCGCAUUAUAACUUCUAUGCACGGAGAAUUGAGUUCAUCUCGUUGUACAGAGUAUACAAGAAUAAUGUCAUCCGCCGAAAGUAUUUGAAACAUUAAUUAUUUCGCCAAAAAGUUCAACUAUCCGGUUAUUGCACGAAACCCUUGAAUUAACAAGUAUUUUAUUAACCCUAGAGGGUAAUUCAGGAGUCGGCGAUGGCGUUAAUAUAUAACUUUAAACUUGACGAAUAUUACGUACAAAUAUUAUUACCACAAUCACAAAAAAAUUCUGACUGAAACUAUAAGAAUUCAAUGGAAAAACACUGCAACGCAGAACAAAUUGCAAUGGGGACAGAGUUUUUCUUGGACCUAAUAGUUUUAUUUUAAUGUGUAUUGUGAUUCCGUAUCUCUGAGUAACUUGUCCACAAAAUAUCAUGCUUGAAUUAAAUAAUAACAAGUGAACAUACUUGAUGAAUUAGGUUCGAGUUAGUGAUAAAGACACUCGGUUUAUUAUUUUUCAACCAGUUUUCAUAAUAAUUGGGAAAAUCCGGAAAUAGUUGUAAAACGAAAAUGGAGUAAUUUACGGCACAACGAUUUCAUUAUAGUAUAUUUUGCCUUGAAGAUUUUCCAUGUGUUUUUUAUAUACACAUGUUAUAUAUAUUCAAUAAUUGAAAAAACCGAGACAAAAUGUAAAAAGAAAGUAAAUGUAUACAGAAAUAAAAGUUUUAUUGUUUUAAAUUUUGUUAUAGAUUCUUUGCGGAGCGUACAAUUUAUUGGUUUUACAUUGAUGUUUAUAUUUUUAAUUUUUUUUCUUGUGAACAACCGUUCCACCAGAAAUUUCGCUUCGAUUUUUAAGUGAUUUAUCAAUCAUUUUUUCCGAAAGGAAAUUUUAACUGGAGUAAUGUCUGAAGAAAGUCGUUUUUCGAUAUUCCCAAGGGGUUUACAUAAUAAAUAGGAAACAUCGGGAAACAAUUUAGGAAAAACGAAAAAAUGUACAAAAUGUAUAAUUUUCAAAUCGUAUAUAUUACGGCCUUUCUAAACACGUGUAACCGAAUUCCGCUCAGAAUCGUUUUCCAUUAGCAACGAUUAAUAGUUGCGUACAAAUAUAUAGAUUACAUUUUUCCUCUACUUUCCUAACUUCUCAUCAACGACAGUGACUCACCAGUCAUGUAACUUAUGUCCGUUUUUUUUUUUUUUUUUGUUGUAGUUCAAUUUAUAAUAUCUGUGGAAUCUCAAAAUGUCGAUAUUAAACUUAUAUUGAUACUUUCUAGAUGCGAUGUAUAAUUUUUAGAUGCUUGAUAAUAUAUUUGAUCUGUCUGUAGAUAUUUUUAAUUUUCUAUUUUUUCUUUUUGUUUUUUUUUUUUUUAUUUAAAUGGUUGAAAAUUUAACACGGAGUUUAUUAUAAGUUGUAAUUAGGUGUGAUAAAGACUAUUUUUAUUCACAAGUUAACGGAACAACAAUAUAUUUUGUUUUAUCAAUAUUUGUGUGUAGUAUAUAAAAAAAAACACGACAUCUAUCAACUGUGAACAACUGUAAUUUGUAGACGUAGCGGUUUUGUCCAGGCAUAGGUGUUUAGAUCAAAUAUCGAUGGCACUUUUCGCGUUUUAACCAAACAUUUCUGAGGUUUGCUCGUUAUCAGCUUUUGCCCGAUGCAUAACGAUAUAAUAAUUACUAAUGUGUAUGGUCUAUAAUGUCACAUAACCGACGAAUAACAUUGUAUUUUUCCCUUUAAACUUCUUUUGUCGUAACGUUGUAGAUAAAACUGCAGUGGUUUACGUUUUCACGUUAUUUAUUUAUUGUAACAAUUUUCUUUUUUUACAUUAACAAACUAUACUUACUGCGAGAAACUUGAAAUAUGUUUCCUUUAAAAUAUGGUCUGGUAUCCAAUUCUCUGUUUUCCUAUACGUAUAGGUAUUUAUAGGGCAAUGUGAAACUUUUGAAACAUUCCUAAAAAUAUUGAUACACACGAAAAAAGAAAUGAAACAUCAUUGUGAAGCCAAUAAAUUCUUCACUUUUCUCGCUUAGAAUCUAAAAGCGCAGUUACCUACCUGUAUAUGAUACCGGAUAGAAUACAUGCAGUAAUGGAAAUCUUUUCACUUGGUUCACCCCGGUGUAAAUCGGUAUUAUAUUGUUCGUUUCAAAAUGUGUGAACAUAAACUAUACCAUUCGGUACCUAGAAAUACGAUUUCGAGUUCGGAGUUCACUAGGUAGUAUAGUUUUAUAGUACCGUGUAUUAUUUUUUCGUUUUUUAAUUUAAUUUUUAUGAAUUCAAUAUUUCGAGCGUUUCAAAAUUAUAACAUUGCGUGGACAACCAACGAAGCGUAUAAUUAUAACAUUUAAAAUAAAAUACCCACGUGAAUAAUUGAUAAUAAUAUUUUUUAUUAAAUUUUAAAACGAAUUCACUACCAUAUUAUACGUAUACUUUUUUCAAUCGCGUUGCAUGAUCGUGGCAUGGGAAAUAGCUGUUAAAUACGAGAAAGUAUCGUUUUUAAAACGCUUACAAGCUACGAAACGAAAUGACGGUUUAUUAAAGAAAACAACUCGAUAAAUAUCAAUAACGCUUACAUAUGAGUAAUAUAAAUUAUUUACAACUAACCGGAAAAAUAUACGUUUCUCUUGGUCGUUUUAUAGAAAAUCGGAAAUAAUAUUUCAGUGAAAUUAUUACAUGUCCCAGUGUCGUGAAUUAUUGAUUUUAUAUAAUUAUUCUUUUCAGUUCAGGUUAAAUGUAUAGGUUUACAGUAGAAAUUUAUUGAUGACGAAAAACGGGUUCUGAGUUAAGUCCGAUCAAUCGGUUACCGUUUUGAUAAACUUACAUUGAAAAUUGUAUUAAUUCGUAACCAUAUACAAAAAAAAUAACAAUUUUUCGUAUUGUUUAUUCACGCAUUUGUUUAGCAUGUUUAUCGGUUUUUCGUGUUGCAGUCUCUUUCCGAGUCGAAUCGACCGAAUACACACACGUUAUUAUUCCCUAGAAAUAUUCCCGACUUUCCCGAUUGUAUUUGAAAAAAAAAAAAAAAAAAAAAAAAACUACAAAUUAGAAAACAAUUAUCCCGGUAGAACAGAGAAAAUCCGCACCGCAGCGCAAGACCAGUGCGCGUUUCUCGGCACGCUUGUGUUCAAUUUCGGGAUCAUAUUGUGCCCGUUUAAAAUAAUAUUUACCGCGUAAAUCGCGUUUUAAAAAUGCAUUUAUCGCGUACGUGCGGCCGUGUAGAACCGAAACAACAAACGAUAACGGCGAUUUACUAAACGCGCGUUUUAAAAGUCCGUCAACCAGUGCCGUUUAUCGGGCACACCUUUCGGUUAGACAAUAUUUCGUCGUUCGUUAGUUGGCGCGGUUCCACGUGCGAUCCGCUCUCCGCGUCUACAAACCGUAACAAUAAUAUACAAUAUUAUUAUCAAAUACGUACACCGACGACUCGUGUUUUCGACGUGGGGGCCACGAUAACGAUGGCGAUGAUAACAAUAAUAAUAACGCGGCGAGAAUUCCGCGGUACAUGCCACAGUGUGUGUGUGUGCGGAGCAUAACGUAAAAAAAAAAAAAAAAAACGUUUGUAAAUAACGUAUUUUUAUUUCUACGCGAUGCGAAACUCGCGUUUUAUAUCGCCGGUUUCAAUUAAAUUAAUUGUGUUUAUUAUGUAGGUACGUUCGAGUAUUAGUACAUACACAUUACGUAAUAUUAUAUUAUGCUAACAGAGUAUACUCGCUAUGUGUAUUAUAUACGUAUGAUGUGUAGCGGCGGUUUAAUUCAAUAAAAAAAAAAAAUAAAAGUUUCGAAACAAUAGAAUAAUAAGUAUGUAGGUGUUUAACGAGCUUCGCAAUACUUAUCGCGUAUGAAUAUAGGUUUUGUAUACUCUGUGUACCGUGAAAUUAUAAAACAAAAAAAACCGAAAUGAAAACCGUGCGCGAACAAAAAUCCGUGUGAAAUACGCGUGAACGGGUUACUAUUAUAAUAAUUUGAAAUUAUUUUCAAAUAUUAUACCGAAUUUAAGGUGUUUUUUUGCAUACGAGAAAUUCGAAAAAUAUAUUUAAAAAAAAAUGACGCGUGAUUUAUGCGAUAAAUAUGUAUUAAAUCAGCUGAUGAUUUAAUUUUAAUCAAUACCGACUAUGCUUUGUUGUUUUAUUCUUCAAAUUAAUUAAAAUAAAAACAAUUAUAGAACUACCUAUAUAACCUCCUUAAUGUCCGCAAAAAACGGCCAAUGACGUAGAUUAUAUUCCCAAAUUAGCAUUGGUAAUUUCAAAAAAAAAAAAAAAUAACAAAAAAAAUCACAAAUAUAGUAAAACGAAAUAUUUCGAAAACACCGAUAUCUUUCAUCCCGUGAAGAAAAAGAAGCGAGACGAUUGUAAUUUGUAAUAUCGAAAAAAAAAAAAAAACGGUUUAAAAUGUAUUGUUAUACACACAAAACGACUGCAUUUUCUAUAGGAAUUCACAAAUAAAACUUUUUGUUUCGUCCCCGAAAUUAAAACCGUAUUGUUACAACGGUAUUAUGACUUUUCAUAUCGCCCGUGAUGGGAAAUUGUACAAUGUCAGAAUAAACUUUUACCGGCUACCGAACAACGUAAAAAACACGGGACCACGCGGCCGAUUUCGAAUCGGGUCUCGUUCCGCCAAAUAGCUGCAGGUAUCAUUAUGGUAUUAUUGUGAUUCGCCCGUGUCGUCGUUAACCUUUGUUGCAGAAACGUUUAAACGUUUGCACGGCUGCACUACGGGUACGUACGUUAUUAUUGUGUUAUGCAUUUAUUGCGUAGGUAUUAGAGAUUACGAUAACAUUCGGAAUACCGUUCGUCGGUAGAGAUGGAGAAAAAAACAAAAACACAAAAAAGAGCAAAGCGAUGUACACGCCGAACGGAAUCAUUUAACAUGCGCCGUCGUUGUAUUUCUCCGUCCGUCCCCCCGCGAAUACCCGCGACGGCCAUAAUUCGAUAAAAAUCUGAUGCAUUUAAAGUGUGAAUUAAGAUGCGGCACACUGCGGUCUCGGGAAUAAAAACAUUUACUGUUCGCCACCUAUGCCGUACGGAUUACGGAACCCGCGCGCGCCGGUGUAGCCGGCUAUAACAGUAAUAAUAAUAAUAAUAUAUCAAGUGUGUCGAAAACCAUUACGAAAACGCUAUUACGAACCCUAACAGCGGGCGCGAGUGCGUGAAAUACGACGUCCAAUUAUACAAAUGACCUGCUCAACGUGUAGAUUUAAUACGGGAAUACGGUCUAACGUCUGGCGCAUACGCGAGUACGGAAAAAAAAGGAACGCGUACAAAAAAAAAAAAAACUCGUACCUACCGAACACACACACACACACACACACACACAAACACGUCACACACGUAAUGUUCGCUAAUUUUCACGUCAAACUACCGCGAUAAUUUCCCCCAAAGAAAGCCCCUGUCAAGCAGCCGGCGAGUGACGACUACGAGUUAUAAUCCGUAUUCAUAUUAAAAAAAAAAAAACCCGCAUCACGAGCGAAAUUUAGUUAAACGUUUAACGGACGGUGUUAUUUCAAUACAGAGUUUUUGCACAACUCCGGUUAAAAAUAACGUGCAAACCCGUUAACGUUAUUUACCAAUAUCUGUUUUUGCGCGUGCGCAACGAAUAUCGGUUAUUUGAUUAUUGUAAUGUUAUUUUUCGUAAUUCAACGUGUUUAACACACACGUUAUCGUAAUCGGCUAUUCUUGUCAUCAUUGUUUCACAUAGAGUAAUAACUACUCUAUAUUGUUUCAUCAAUUUUAUUUCAUUAUUCUAUUAUAUCUGGUAUAUGUAAACUUAUCUUUAAUCGUUCUAAAUUUUUUUUUUCAAACCUAAACAUUUGUCAACAUUCUUCAUUGGAACGUUCUUCUAAAUUGAAAUUUUCAAAUGCGUGUGAUCUGACACGUAUGAAACGAUAAUAAUUCCCUAGCUAAAAUGUAUUCUACAUCAUCGGCUGCAAUUUUUUCCAAACUCACCAACUCCGAAAAUUCUUCCAUAUUAAACUAAAGAUUUACUUUCAAAUGUAAAAUAAAAAAUAACUAAAAAUCGAAUUUACGAAACUAAAAUUACGAUAACUACUAUGAUAUGCGUAAUGAUUACAAAAUAUUUUAACGGAACGGAUCUUCGAUAUCUGGUAAUGCAAAAAAUAAAUUUUCAAUGAUAACGUGGUAAGUAUUAACGUAUGAUUUAACCGAACGUUAUUUUUACCGUAUUGUUUAACCGGCGUUGUGCAAAAAUUCUCUAAUAUAAUAGGUGUACACGGUUAAUCCAACGUCCAGUUUUACUUAAACUGCAUUGAAUUUAGAGUUUUCUAAUACCACCAAAGUUUUGGUCGUAAUUUUUUACAUAAUUGUUUAAUAGUUUUCAGAAUUUAUUUGAAAUUACUACGGUCGUUACAACCGAAAUAUCGAGGCAAGUUUUUCCUUGCUGCCGGUUUUAAAAAAAUAAUUAGAAAAUUGUUUAUUUAAUCGGGGACUUAAUACCAUAGAUUAAAUCGUUACAUAUUUAAUUUGAAAUAUUUUUAGUUUAUAAUCUCUAAAUAAACAUUUAUUUUAUAUUGAAAAUGUAUUCCAGUUUAAAUAUUCAAAAAUGAAUACUCACACUUAACGUAUUCAACACGGAUUUUUUUUUUUUUUUCGCUGUUUAGUAUUGUACAUCGAUAUGUGGGCAUUACUUUAAGUCCGAAUGACCAAAAGCUUUUCGAAAAAUACAUUUAAACACUAAACAAAAAUAGAAAAAAAAUACGAAAUAAGUGUUUUAACGCGUUAGCGUUGUACAGUUCGAAUCGAAUUAUCAUGCAAUUGAAUUAUAUACGUCACAUCACGGUGAAUAGUGUGAAUAUUAUUAUUUUUCUCAAAAUCAAAUCGUCAAAACAAAUGCGCGCUGUGCGAGUCACCAGCCCGAAAAAUCCUUUAAAAGUUUAUUCGGUGCCUACCUACGCGUUAUUACAAAGUCUGUCACACGAGGUUUGAUUUCCUAACGAGCACGUUCCCGGACAUUAGGUACGGCGGAGACGAAACAGAGUUGCUAGAAAGAGAGUAAAGGUAUAUAUAUAUAUAUAUAUAUAUAUAUAUAUAUUCAGAUAAAGACGGUUAGCCUUUGUGGAAAUCACGUGGAACUUGUCGUCGUCGUCGUACGAACGUGACGGUCGAGUUUUCAAAGCUAAAUCCACCUGUAAUUACGGUUUCAUCCCCGCACCCACAAACGCCGGCCGAGGGCGGGUCACGUUAUUCCCCACACGCCCGUCUUCGAACGUUCCCAAAUGCCCUCGGGAUAGCUCCGUCUCGCUUGCUCUUUGCGUCCAAAACUCUCGACGCGGCCGAUAUAUAUAUAUAUAUAUAAGUGUAUACAUUUCCUUACCGCGAAUACCAGUAUCACGGUAACGUGGUAACCGUGUUAGACCUGCAUCGGGGGUCGGUAACGAGCGACCGUCGACUCUGGCCAUUUGUCAAAAGCUCAACGGCGACGCCCACCGGCCCGAAACGACCUCGCGGAAAUUUGGCAUCUCAAAUGAUCGUAUAUUUUAUUGUCUACGGGUCUAUUUAAAACGGAGAUGAGAAUAUAUACCGGCAAUCGUAACCAGACCUCCCUUCGCCUAUAUAAUGGCCUUAUCCACUUAGGGGGGUAGAAAAAACGAAAUCGACCAAUUUCAUAACAUAAUUUAUAAAAUUCAAAUAUUAUUUGUUUGAUAACAUUCGAACGAUUAUUAGUUAAAAUAUCUAUUUAAGUUAGAAGUUACUUUUCCUAAUAACCAGUCAAAUUUACUGUUCAAAACAGAAUAAUUGUUAGAAAAUAACUUGGUUGAUACCUAACUUAAUUAUUUAUUUAAAUAUAUAAUUUAAACAUAUUAAUAUUAUUUCGUUAAAAAUUAAGUUAUUAACGAUUUUUUUAAAUGAAAACCGUGCACCUGUAUUUUUUUUCCACGAAAAUACACGUUUUUUUUGUGAAUAUCGUUAUCAGUUAUCAUCACCGUUCAAAAUAGACAUGCAGCCUGACAUUUAACUAAACUUAAACUAUUGUAUUCUUGAAUAUAUUUUGUUAAACGCGAAUGUCACAUUAACUUGCCCGGCUUUGUUAUUUGAUCGCUAGGGGAGGGGGUUAUCCACUAAAUUAUUAUGAUCCGUCAAGGUCACGUAUGCAUCGCGGAAAUAAUUUGUUUACCGCCUAUUCUCCGUAAAAUAUGUUUCGCAUCAAAACUACGUAAAUGUGUCGGCAAAUCUCGUACGUUUAACGUUUAUAAUAACGAUAACACGUGGUGCGCGCGCAGUAAUAUAUUUUAUUGUCGUACAUCGAAACGUGGAAAAAUAGAAUGGGGGAGGGAAAACAAAAAAAAAAAAAAAACAAUCGUCGAAAAACACGAUGACUUAUCGCACGGAAAUAUUAUAUUAUUAUAAUAGUAGUCGUUUUACAUUCAGAACACUGGGCGCGUAUAUUAUAUACGUACUCGUCGUAGUGUUGUCGCGUACUCGUGUGUGAAAUCGAAAUUACUUUCGCCGUUGCCGGGUGCCGAAGACGAGCGGGGGGGAGGGGGUGCGUUUCGAAGACGAACGGUAUAUGUACACACAGGGUGAUCCGUUUAAGUGGCUACACUCGAUAUUUCGAAUAUUCGUUUUUUUUUUUCAAACAGUUUUUUUCGUUUGUUUUUCGACAAUAAUUUUUCAAGAAGCGAGCAGCUCUGAAAUAUUACGACUAUUCCGAAUUUCGGUUUUCAAAAUACGGUAUUCUGUUUAUCGCCCCCUCCCCUCCUGAAAACAAAGGCACUAAACAAUUAAAUAAAUACUAUAUUUUAGAGCCGCUUGUUUUUUUUUUUUGCAUCGUUGAAGAAAUAAUUACAUAUUUCCCAAACAUCGAGUGUAUUCACUUGAACGGACCACCCUGUAUAGGCACUCGUAUUUUUAUUAUGACAUUAUUAUUAUAUUUCGUUGUUUUCCCCCUAUCGAACGAACAAUAUAAUAUAUCGACGACCUUUCGCGCCAUCGUUUUAAAAAUGGAUUUUACAACACCGUUUUCGCAGCAGCAUCAGCAUCAGUAGCAGCAGCAGCGGCAGCAUCAGUAGCGGCAAGAGCGGAUUAAUAAUUACGUCUUCCGCGUGACGUACUCGCCCGUUUCACGGAUGACCGACUGUGUACCUACUACCUAUAGUCGGAUUCAUUUGUCUAAUAACCUGUUAACUAUAAUGGCGCCUAUUAAACAACGGUCGACGACGGGUUAACUAUAUAGCCCUAUCCAAACAGUGUAGGCGACGUUUCAACAAUAAUCGCGCGAGACUACCAACAUGCGCGAGAUAUCGCGACAUCACUCGCCCGUUUCGCUGUAAUAUACGCAUAAAUGAUUAUAAAAUUGCGAUUUAUUUGUGGUUUUCGGGCCCGCGGCGAUUUGCAGCCGCACGACUCGCGUACCCGUUCGUUUUAUACGGAGAAAGGGGCGGAGGGGCUUUCGAUGUAGUGUAAAAAAAGAAUACACCGUGUUGUCCUACAGUAGUAUAACGGUUCCGCUGUCCCCGCGAUUUUAACGAAAUUACCGACGAAACAAAAAUAGUAUUUGUUAUUUUGUCGAGUUCAUCGAUUUAAAAUUAAACGUACUCGAAUAUUGACCUCUUUGCGUUAGUAUUCAAUUUACUAUGAAAGUCCCUUCUGAUUGUAUGUACGCGUAAUAUCGCGUGGGAAACAUUAAAAUUUGUUCCCAUUUAAAGUAUUGCAAAAAAAAAAAAAAAAGGAAACAAAACAAAACCACUUUUAAAAAAAGUAUUUACUAUCGGGUUUUCGGUAUGCAUUCCGGGUAUACUUGUCGUUUAUCUUUGUAUACCUGUAUAAACUAUAGACAUAACGAUCAAAAUGUAUGUAAAACGAACGGUUUAAAGGUUUUGAAAACGCUCGUCGGUGGAAAAUAAUAUAGAACACUAAAUAUCCAGAAAAGCGAUUUAUCGACGAUUGUUAUCGGAAAAAAACUUUUAUUCGAUUGAUCGACCGUGUUAUUGGACUUACUCCUAUGUCCGCCGCAGUGACCGGGUCGUAUGCAUUUUUAUUUUUAUUUUUUUUUUUUUAUGGUCGGUUGCGGGUGAACUCAAAUAGUAUAGUGCAUAAUACAAAGAUAAAUGAUAGACUUGAUAAUGAUAUUAUAACGUUAUUAAAAAAAAAAAAAAAUAAAAAAAUACCCAUAUAUCGUGAAUAUAUCCAUUGUUUUAUAAUAUUCUCUCUGUAUACGUACGUACACUGUGUUUCCAGCACUUAUAGAAUAUUAAACACAAUAUUAUUAAAAACAGCAGUGGCAUUCCCAUCAUUCCACCGUCACCGCCGCCACCGAAGGUUUUUCAUUGUAAAAUAGAAUAAACAGAUAUCAUUUUAUUUUUUUUUUACAGACACGCACACACACACACACACACACAUAAACACAGCGCUCGUUGUAAUGAUAAAUAUUCCUAUAUGCACCGCGAGGAGUAUCAUUAUGUGUACUUACGUGUAUAUAAUAUACAGUUCAAAUAAAAUGCUUUUGAAAUAAUAAAUUAUUUCGCGAAAUGUAUUAUACGAGUAUGAAACAAUAAUAAUACUAACAUAGGUAUGUACGAAUAUUUUUUUUAAAAUUAAAUCGCUGGAUGUAUGAUAUUUCAUGUUAUUGUGUAGAUACCGGGGACCGGAACCUUUACGAUUUUAAGGGUUUCGAUUUUGUUUCGGUUCUUUAAAAAAAAUAAUAAGGCUUCCGGUCUUUUGAUUUUUAAGAAGUUUCGGUCUUCAACUGGUCUUUUUCGGUACGGUCUUUUAUAAGGUGCCAGUCAAUCAUGGAUGAGAUACUUUUAUAAUUUAUUUCACCAUGAAAUAAACCACUAGGCCUAUUCGACUUAUAACAGAGCGUUAUAAAAUAUAGAAUACACAACAUUUCCGUAUUUCAAGAUAUUUUCAAUAAAAUAUAUUAGUUUUUUCAACAUGCCCAAAGGUCAAAGAUAGUUUAAGGAUUCCGAUUACAAUACGGGAAAUGAGUGUGUGCGAGAUUUCCCGGAAUUUUUAUGUUUUGUAUGUGUUACUGUGUGAUACAUAGGUACAACGUAGUUGGGUAUCAAUAAUAUAAAACCCAGUGCGAUAAGCGCCGUAAGAAAAAUUUAAUUAUAACACUUGUAUUGCUGGAUGAUUAAAUUAAAUACAAAGAGAACGCAAUUCACAAUAGAAAAUAGUGACUCGCGGAUUCCACGGGGAAUACGAUCGCUUGAAGUCAGUACAUUCGCGAGUCUACGAGAUGAUGGAUUAGGGAAGUGUUUAUUACCGGUGGAUAGAUCUACGGUUUAAUAUUAAUUAUUACUACUACUAUUUGUUUAAAAUGUAUAAAUCAUAAAUUGGAAUUUAUUACCGAAAAACAAAAAAAAAAAAAAACCGCAAAAAACCUCUACAUCAAAAUAAAGGUUUUGGUUCUAAAAAUAAAAACAAUUUAAUGUUUCGGUCUUGUGAUUUUCAAAAAUAUUCUGACUUUAACCGGUAUUUUACGGUUCCAGUUCCUGGUAGAUACACGCAAAAAAAAAAAAAAUGAUUGUAUAUUUGCGUACUUUCCACAUUCCUCUGCGGUCUAUAAUAAUAAUAAUAUGCGCGAUAUUAAUAAUAAUAAUGAUUUAAGUCGAAUAACAUUUGGGUAUGUACGGAUAUUUUAACAAAACAAAAAUUCAAGGACCGCAACAACAUUUGUAUAACCCGAAAAUAUUAUUAUUUAUUAGAUAGGUACCCAAAAACAGCAAGAAAAAAACAGGUAUCGUAUUGUGUAGAAUAACUUUCAACAAAUGAUAAUGUAAGCGGAAUAUUUUUCAUCGCCGUUUUUUCUAGCGGAAGAUAUAUUGUUAUAAAAUCUACGUACGAGUAUAAAUCCGUAUUUUAAGUACACACGAAACAUGCUCGGAAACCGAAAUUCGCCUAGGUGCAAUACAAUAAUGUAAACACGAUGGAAUCAUAAAGUGGAUUAUGGCGAAAUUGUAAAAGGUAAUAAAUGUUAGCAGAAAACACGAGUAAAUGAGUCAAUAAAGAAAUCGGCGGAUAAGCGCGUGAUAAAAAAAAAAAAAAAAAGGUAUAAUAUAGAAAUAAGGUAAAAAAGAGGAUCGAAUUUCACCGGAAACGAGAUCGAACGAAAAUAUCAGAUUAGCGAUCAUUAUUAGGUUGCGGGAUGAACCAUAACUCUUAAAGGACGGGUAGGGUAGUUGCGAGGAGGACGAUUUUCUCGAGAGUUUACUCAUCAAAUUUGAAAAACCAAAAAAUAAAGGGGAAAUAUAUUAGUUAAAAUAUAACAUUUAAUGACAGCAAUGUUUCUAAAAGGAAAUUUUAUUAGGGAGGUACUUUAAAGAAAUCAUUUUUCGAUUUUCCCAAGAUUUUUUCCAGCAAAUGUGAAAAACCAGGAUAAAAAAUAAGAAAACCGGGGAAAAUGUUGGAAAACUGGAAAAAUCGGUACAACGUCUAACAAAUAAUAUCAUAGAAAAUAUAUAAAGCCUCUUUAUUUAGAUUACUAUAAAAUAACAUAUAUAUUGUUGGCAAAGCAACAUUAUCAACUGAAUUCCGCUCAGAAUCGAUUUUUGUAAGCAAUAGUUAAUCGUUACUUAUAGGUAUACAUUAAAUUACCUAAGACAGUGGUUGCAUCCGUCUCUAUUAUCCUGGGACUUUUUUUUUUUUUUCAAUCUGGUUUUAUGGGAGGGGACAUAUAUAAAGGCACAUUUUUGUUAUUUUCAUCUCUUUAUCAUUGAAAAAAAAUUAAUUUUAAUUUUUUCAAUUUUUAAAAUUUUCAAAAUUGUUAUUUUGUAAAAUGUAUAUAUUUUGUGUGAAAACAAUUAAUUUAAAAAAUGGCUAUUUUAAAAAUUUCGAAAAUAGAUAAUACAAAGUUAUUUUUUUUGCGAUAGUUAAAUGAUUAAAAUAAACAUAUUAUUUUUCUCUACAUAAUAUAUUGCAUUGUUCUUGCUUAAAUCCCGAUUGAAAAAAAAAAAUAAAUACCGUCAGAAUUAUUAACAUAAGGAUAACAUUAUGUAACACACUGUAUAUUGCCGUAAGAGAAAGUGCCCCUACAAAAGACGAGAUUUUUAAGGAUAUGGCGCAAACGAAGGGGCGAAAAAAAAGAAUCGAGGGGAAAUAGGAGACGAUACUGCUGUGAGGUGCUAUCUGUGAAGCCGGAGAGUUUAACGGAUUUUCAGCGAUAAGCUCCCUUGAUGUUUUCGAGUGUGCAAAGGGUACUAUAAUGUUAGAAGUAAGAGUAAUGCUAAAAUCGUGCACGAAGAAGGCACCGGCAGAAGCGACGGGCACGUUAUCGUUCGUUUGAUAAGAAAAUAUUUUACGGGUGAGUGAAUAUAUUUAUUUUAGAAGCGAUGUUUAAUCGUAUAAUAUUAUUUGUUUCCCUCAGUUAUUCGUUUUUUAUUUUGUUAUUUUUUUUAAAUUUUUAAUAAAUAAUUACAAUUUCCGACCAGUUGGGUUCCCGAAUUGGUUUAAGUUGUAUAUAUUACAAUGACAAUAAUACACUUAAUAUAAUAAAAGAAAAUAUAUUUUGCAUUUGGGAACAACGGGAAUUGUCGGAGAUAAGAACUCAACCGGGACUGUAGCACUUUCCACAUUGUAAUACAUAAAACGCGAUACGUUUUAAGUCUGGAUUACGCGGCGAAAGUGUUUGUAUAAUAUAUAAUAUAAUAUAAUAGGUUUCCAGGGAAAUGUACGCACGUUUUUUUUUUAUAUAUACUCGUAUAUAUAUAUAUUUUAAUCAUAAUAAAUUAUAGAACAAUAAAUUAAAAACGUUUUAUGUUUCUCGAAUAUAGCCAUCUCAUUAGUCAUCGCAUAUUACAAUAGCUGCGGGUAGGUAGCAGUACCAUGGCGAAAGUUUCGAUCCAUAAUACGUGGGCUGGUUUUUAAUUAAAAAACAAAAAAUAAGUAUAAUAAUAAUGAUGAAUUAUACCUAACUAAUUUUCUAAUAUUAUUCGAAUGUAUUCGGAAAAUUAAAUACGGUUUUACGAAGAUUGGCCAAAAUGACUUAAAGUUAGUCGCAAGGCUAUAGACUCAAGGAAAUAAUAGAAUUCGUCACAGUGACAUGAGGUAUAAAAAAGCUAAAAAAGACGGUCUUAAUUCACACGUGGGUGCAGCUACUGCUAUCGGUAGAAAGUUUGAAAGGUAGGAAGCAGAAGGGAAUUUAAUGUAUAUCUGUAAGCAAAUAAACCAUUGCUAACAAAAAAGCGAUUCUUAGUGUCCUUUGAUAACAAUAUACAUAUUUAUAUUAUAUCUAUAAUUGUAAAAUAUUCACAUAUGCAUUAAACAUUCAAUUUGAUAAUAUGUGUUUAAUAUCGUACCUGUUUUCCCGUGUUCCCCUUUUACCUCUGUUUUUGUUUUCGGUUUGUCCAAUGUAUUGAGAAAAUUAAAAAAUUAACCAACCCAAAGUACCUACUCAAAUUUCAAAAAAAUUGCAAAAUUUCCGGAAAAAAAGAUGUUCAUAGAUAAAAGAAAAAAAAAGAAACAUCAUUUUAAAACCAUAUUCAUCUUUGCUCCACUAAAAAUCUAAAAAAGGAGUUCACGUAUAAAAACGAAUUGUCCUUUUUAAUAGAGGAUGUUAAUUUGUUGCAUUAAAUCAUUUGUAACACUGAGAAAUAUUUUGUUGUUUCUAACGAUGCACCGUGAUGCUCAUGGAAAGUUAUUUUCAGAAUUAACGCUAAAGGCCACUAAGACGGUGCUCACUUCAUAUCGGCAAACCGUUAUCAACGUUCGAUCCGAUUAGGAUCUUUUUUUAUUUUGUGAAAUUGUUCGUGAUAUUUUAGAACCUCCCCCAGUAUCUAUCGAUGAUAAUAAUAAUAAUAAUAAUAAUAUUUUAAUUCGGCUCGCAGUACAAGUCGUCUUCCGGAACAAUAAAUCUUUGCACGUGCGCAAUUUUUUCCCAUGUCACACAAGAACGGAUCUGUAGUAUUAUAAUGUCCGCUAUAUCGUCACACGCGUAUAUUAUAAAGGUCGUAUAAAAGAUUUCGGAACGAGAACAAUAUAUAACGACAUCGCGCGUGGAAAGAAACAAUAUAUAUAUAUAUAUACAUAUUAUAUAGGUACUGGGAGGACCGAUCGAUAAUUCACGGGGCGUUUGGUGUGUAAAAAGACCGCGCGUUGAAAAGGUUCCAAAAAAAAAUUGAGAUGAAAAAAAAAAAAAGAGUCCAUUCCGGUUUUCCGUCCGAAUUUUAAUUUAUUUUCAAAAGCGACCGUUGUUUCCUGUCCGCGGCCGGUUUGUACGCACUCCGCGUCGAUAUAUUAUAUAGUUUACGGUCGAAUAUUUACGACGCCGCCGUUUUAUAAUGUUACCAUUUCCAAGGCACCUAUAUAUAUAAAACGAACUCGGUUGAUCGUGGCCAGACUGUGGGGGGAUCCGCAGGGAUGUUGGUGGGGGCAAAUGUUCGGACCGUAUAAUAGUAUAAUACUUAUUGGCCCCGCGCACGGGUUUUUAUUCCUCGGGUUAUCGAGUUGCAAUGUUAUUUAACGUUAUAAUAAUAUAUAAAAAAAAAAAAAAAAAAAAAAAAAAAAUAUAUAUAACAAUGUAAAGAUUGGGUUUCAAAACGUUGCGAAUUUUAACGAACUCUUUCGUUUCUACUUUAUCCCAACACGUCGUUUUCUCCACCACCAUUAUUGUGCUACUUCUGUGCUGAUCGUUCUUUCUUUUUUUUUUUUUUAUGUAAACUUGAUUCAUUUUUCCUGGUAUGGCUUUGACGGAAUAUUAAUUUCGAACGAAAAGUGAACAUUUAUUAAAAGCUAUGUUUUUUUUGUUUUUUUUUUUUUUUUAACAAAGAUAACGCGAGAAAAAUAAGUAAUGUUAAUAAAGUACGUAUGUAUUUAAAAUAUUGUAAGAUUAUAAAUAUUAUACAAUUUUUUCUGUAACUUACUAAUACAAAAAAAAAAAAUCGUAAGCAUAAAAAUAAUAAUUUUAAAAUUUCCUUUAAUAAUUGUAUUUCUAGAGGUUACCUAUAUUAUCUCUUAAGGUUUUUUUUUUUUGUUCUUUCCAAAUCCGACGAACCAUCACGAAUUGUUUUUGGCCGACGACAUUGUUUUUUCGAAAAACGCAGUGUUCCGGAAAACCAUAAAACGUUUCCGAUGCUUUAAAUUCAGUUAUCGUACUUACCGGAUGGACGUUAUAUACAUACCUACACACACACACACCCACACACAUAUAUAUAUAUAUAUAUAUAUAUUGUAUUCGAUGUCAUCUUACGUCUUAAAAUCUAUUAUAUAGGAUAUGACCGCCCGUAAAAAUUCUCAAAUUCUCACCUGAAACAUAAAACAAUACAUUAUAUAUUAAUAAAAUUAGGCGGUGAAUUUGCAUAUUAUAUUUUAUGCAUUUAUUCGGUUUAUAAUUUUUUUAUUUUAUUGAUUAAAAUAUUAGUUUUUUUUUACUAAUUAUAGAUUAUUUUCUACGCUGUUAUAAUUCUUCGUUAAUCGAUUAGAAUUUUGAAAGCGAAAAUAAUAUUGUGGGUUAAACGUUUCGAAAGGUUUUAUUUGAAUUUUCGAAGUAGACACGUAUACGCUUAUCGAGAGCGUUAGUGAACUUUUACCACACCCUGUAGGUAACUAUUGAAAAUAUCAAAAAGCAUUGGUGGUUCUGUCACAGUACCGGAUACGAAACGUAUAAGCCUAUUGAUUUUUAGGCUUAAAAAAAAAACGAUACAAAAUAGAUAAAAAUGACAUUAAUUAAUUAAUUAAUUAAAAUCAAGUAUGGUGUUGAAAUAUUUGAAAAGAGUUUGCUUAUCAAAUAAAUUGUAAUUGUACGUGUCUAUUAUACAUGCCAUAGAAAAUAUGAAAAUAAUAAUAUCAACUAUAUAAUUAAGACGUUGGUUCUACGGGAUAUGAUGAGAUUUACUCCCACACUCUUGAUAAGGAAAACAAAUACACUAAAUAUUUUAAUAUUGUAAAUAAUAUGAAAUCUUCAGUAUGAAAACUCACUAAUUUCCCACUCGGGUUGUUUUGUAUUUUUCAAAUGGUCACAAUAAAGGUGUUCCAUUUAAGUGGAUCCACUCAUUAUCUUGAAAAGUAAAAGGUUUUUCGGAAUUUGUUUUAUAGAAUGUACCAAGCAGCUUUAUAAUUUUACAUUUCAUGUUGUUUUUUUGUGGGUAAAACUACUAAUUAGAUUUGAUAUUUAAAUGGUACCUUUCAGAAAAAUUCCAUAAAUGUAUGAAAUAUAUUUGAAGCACAUUGAGAACAAUAUUAUGCCAUUUCCAUGCAUAAUGUAAUUAUAAAAUGAUUAAUAUAUGCUUCGAUUACCUCCAUUCGCUCGCUUUUCGAGUACACAUCGGAAAUCGAAAAUAACCUCCGAUUUGAUAUGCAAAUCUAUGUCAAAUUUGUCACGAGGGAAAAAUAAUUCCGUGGAAUUUUGCACAUAGGUUGUCGCGGUUGGGAGAACUGCCCGAGUUCCCGUUACUACACUCCUUAUGGGUACUUUAGCGCGCAAACAUCAGAUUAUACCGUAACGUGUAUUCCGUUUCGAGUUGAUUAAUGCAAAACUUCACCAACGCGUUCAAUAUAAUAAUUGUUUAGGAAUAAUAAUAUUAUUUAGUGUAUUAUUCGACGGGGGGAGGGCUUAUGAUAAUUGGCUUAGAAAUGAUUAACUCCCGUGACUCGAGGUUUAAAUCGAAUACGUUUAACCCGUGCGUAUGUUAUACGCAUACAGCACUCACGAUAGUACUACAAUACAAAAUAAUAUUUUAUGCAUAACGGGCGUGGUUUGUGGUGAAAUUAAAUUCCGCGUUAAAAUACGUUGCAUUAAAAAUUAAUCAAAAAAUCUCCGGAAUAAUAGGCGGGGAAAAAUGUAACUACGGUAUUAUAGGUAACCGGUAUAUAGGCACUUAGGUAUUUAAAACGAACGAUUUUCGUAUAAUAUCGCGGGAAUUAUUAAUGUGCAGUCUCUCUUAUUGUAGUGCCGGAGUGGUAAAUUAAUUAAAUAAAAUUACGUAGGCGGUACGCUGGGUAUGCACAUGGCGAAAAUCUGACAAACUGCUAUAACGAUAAUGUGCGAAUCGUAUUUUGUUCUCUUUCUCGUUUGGUUAUACAAAAUACGGAAAUCGUCGCUAACAAAACGGUUUAUCGAUUUUGGCUUAUACAAGUUAUUUUUUUUUGUCACGUAACAAUGACACAUUUAUGAAUUAAAAAAGGUUAUAGGCUCGCGCCACUAUUUUAGGCGGGUGGUAAGAUUUUAUCACUACGCAACGAUUUAUCGUUUCUUAUGAAAAAAACAGCUGAGUAUUAUAGAUCGUAAACUAAGGUAACUCGGAAAUAAAAAAAAAUAAUGUAAAUCGAUGUUCCAGUGUUUCCCAUUUAUUUAGAAAACUACAUGAAAAGUAAAAUAAUAACCCUCUCAGUGCACCAACUAGAUCAAGAAGUGGCUACAAGAAAUAUCCUAUUAAGGUUUUGAUUAGUAUGACACUAUUGUUAAAACAUUUAUUUUAUAAACACCUAAAUAGACCUCUGGCCGGUACAAGAUAUUACAUUAUGUCUCAGCCUAAGUUCGAAUUACAGAUAUAUGCGAGUGAACAAUUUUUUUGGAAAACCGCCGGGAAUGUAGAAUAUUGUUUAAAAUAAAGUGGUGUCGGGCGCGUUUCCGCCACGUUUUUGCUACCACAGCUUGAAAGUUUUUGUGACGAUUUCCCAACCACGUCGUCUUGUAGUAAAACUAAUGUACAGUUACUUCGUUACGCUCGCAAUCCGAAACGAAUGAAAACUCGUUUGUAACAUUAUUAUUGUUAUUAUUAUUAUUAUUAUUAUUAUUAUUAUUAUUAUUAUUAUUAUUAUUAUAAUGUCUAGCGAAACCCGAUGAGCGAGAGGGGCACGUGCGCGGCGCGCGCGUUUCGCGCGGUGGUAAAUCACACUGCACGUCGACCGAGAACAAAUAUUACGUGCGGAAUAAUUAAUAACGCGACGAUAAAUCAAAACGGUAUAAUAUAGAUACAAAGCUAAAAGAUACAUACAUUCAUAAUACAAGUCAAUAAUUAUCUACGAGCGUUUUAGACGCGCAUAGUACGCGUUCCGACGUGUUAAUGAUAAAUUACUUUACGGGUGACUUGCGUCCUAAUAAAUAAGAAUGGGCUCAGGCAUUUCUCUCCCCCCCACCAUCCUAAAUAACGCAAAAGCAAAAAAACUACAGAAAAAAUGGAAAUCUAUUCACCCCACUGACCUACCGAGAUAUAGAGCUAAGUUCCGAUACGAGUCCAGGUGGCCGAAGGAACCCCUAACGAAAUAAUGUAGUUAUGUUUUAGCUGAGUGAAAACUCGAUAAAUAGUUUCGCUACUUGGUCAAUCAAAAUAACGCCAAAAUGCUUUAAUAGCUAUACAGUAAUGGACCAUUGAUAAUCAGGUACAGUUUAAGAGAUGUUUAAUUGUUUACUGAUUCUGACCACUCGGCUUUCAAAAAGUGCAUUAAUUAAACAAACAACCGUCACAGUAAACAAUAUCACCAAAACUAUUUAUUCAAAAAUCGGUUUUAGUUUCUGGGUUCUGAUUAGUUUUCUCGCACACUCUUGCCUCGUUCAGCAAUAAAAAAUCCAAUAUAAUACAAUGCAUACAUCUUGUUUGGGAUGAGAUUUUAAAUAUUUUCCUUAAAAUAUGAGAAAAAUUUGAAAAAAAAAGCCGGAAAAAUGAAAGUAAAUAAGAAAAUACCCGCUAAUCGUUAGUUACGGUCUUGUUGGUUUCUAAUGAUUUCAAUGCUGCACUUAAUGUUUUGUAUUUUAUUUUUAACUUAGCAACGCAAAGAAUUUUAAAGGCAUACAUUUCUUUAGAGCUACUCAUAACUAUAUUGGUGAGUUUUUUCUCGGUUUUAUAUGAAUUACUACUUCAAAAAGGCCCUAACGUUAUAUACAUAUGCAAUUUACUACUAUGAUAAUAUUAUAGACAAAUAUCCAACAUUUGUAGUCGGGAUUUUCUUUAUAAGCAUUUGAAUUUCACAUAUUUAUUUAUACAUAUUAUUUUCUAAGUAUUUACGUACGUUUAUUUUGAGUAGAUACCAACAUCAUCACGAUGACGUUUCAUUUAAUAAAACGAUAUUCAAUUUUUAACCUUGCGUUAUUAUUGCGAACAGUAAAAUAUUUUCACCGGUAAAGCAUAACAACGUCAUAAUAAAUACAUAAAUACCACGCACUAAAUUGUACGUUAUUUGUCUUUUACUAUAGAAACAAAAGAAAAAAAUCGUUUCUACAAUGAUUGAACGCGUUUGUGUAUUGUUUUAAAUUAAACAAAUGGCUUCAUUGUCACCGAAAAUCGAAUAAAAUGAUGUAUGGAAAAAUUAGGAAAUCCACGGAACAAGAAAACAAUGCGUAAAAAUGUAUAAGAACGAUUUGGCAUAAAUACCUUUAAUAAUCGUAAAAAACGUCAAUAAAAUUGCCUAUAUAUAUUCGCAUCUUGUUCUGUUUUACCCAUUAAUGAUCACCGUGCGCUGUAGUGAAUAAGUGAGCGAAAACGUAAUUAAUCGUUUCGAAAAAAAUAAUGGAGGUUUCGAUAACAUCGAUGAGCUUGUUGUGCUAUUGAUGGGAUACGGGAAGGUAGUCAAACGGGAGGGGGUUGUUAGAGACGCGGGCAAAUGGAUAUUUCCAUAAAUAAAUACAAUUUUCGACGUUAUAUUAUAAAACGAGUUGGGAACUGGAGGAGAAAUCGUAACCGGCGAAUGGGUGGAAAGUGCAGAGGAAGUUACGACCCGCGGCCGGGACAACUACAAAACGAACUAUAGGGAGAGGUGUGGUAAAGAAGAGAAAAAAAUCCACCUCUCCUAAAGCUCCCGAGACUGCCCGGGAAAUUUACUACAAUUACCAUCCGGUAUUUAUUUUUUUUAAUUUCCUGUAUCUCCAGCUGAAAUAUACGGUCCCCCGACCCUUUCAACCGUAAUCCGCGGGACCUGAGCAUAGCCUGGGCUUGAAGGGUUGGGGGAGGCUUGAAAGGCAAGAAACGCCUUAAUUAUUAUGCUACCGGGUUUCGCGCGCCGAGUGCCGACCCCCUUUAUUUUCAUUUUGUAUUUCGGUAAACGGUACUUGCACAUAAAAUCGGCAAUACAUCAGCAUUGUCGGUCAAACUAGUUUUUCGUUCACCAAAACCUGGUAUACAUGCUGAUUAUUUAUCCAUUGAUUCCUAGAUCUAACUAUUAUCUAGCGAUUAUCUAUACACAAAAAGUUUUUGAUAUGAAUUUUUUUUUUAUAAAUGAUAUGCUGUGAUACUCACAUGUUCUGUCUCUGUCAUAUAAACGUAUGAUAUAGCAAAUUUUCGUUCAGAAGGGACAACUUUGCGCUAUCAAUUUUAAUAUUGCAAUGAACCCUUUAAGAAACUUAAAGAUAAAAACAUUUCCACUGCAAUUAAAUUUGUUUUUUUUUUUUUUUUUAUUAUUCAACUUAAAAGUUGGAUAUUGUGAUAUGAAUAUGUAAAACAAUUCAAAAAUAAUUAUACCUUGUUUAAAAAUUGAAAAAUCGACGUAUUUUCACAGAGAAGAAUCAUAAUAUUUAAGUUUGAUAAAAGGCUAAUUCACGGUACCUAUAGCGUUUUCCUAUAGUUAAACGGACAUUUGUUAUGUCGUACGUUUGUACACGGGAGAUAGAACCGAGCCAAGAUAGAAUGGACUGUGAUGAAUCGCAAAUGUUUUCUCUGUUAUCACAUCACAGCAAACAGACUGGUUGUAGCGCUACUGGUAGUAAUUUCUGGCGUCAAAUGAUAUUAUCACCCGUGAUGUUAAGUUUGUCCAUUAUAAAACCAACAAUAGAUAUUACAUAUUGACAUCCCUCACUUGUCUCUAGUACACCAACUAAAUGCCACUGAUAGACCACUAUGUACCUGUCAAUAUUCUAACUUAGUUUGUCCGUUCACUGUAUAAAUUAAAAUACUGAUUGAAUUUUGAACCUUGCAAGUGACACUAUCGUAACGUUACGAUAGACGCUCAAAUCAUUUAUUUUCUAUUUAAUCAAUAAGAACAAUUAAUACACGUACGACGAUUAAUAUACGGUUUCAAAUUAACGUGCACAUUAUUUCCUGGAAAAAAACAAUUGUAUUUGACAGACGAAUUUGUGUAAAUAUUUCGGUUUCUUGAAGUUUCAUUAUUAGGGAGGAGGGGUCUAAGAAGAACGAAAAAAAUCUAGAAAAAAAAAAAAAAUUAUAAAAUAAACUCCAAAUGGCCACAACGAUAGUCUCUGACAUGUUUACAGACUGAAAAAAAAAAACCCAAUAAAAGUGUAGACCAUACAUGUAUUAUAGUAACACACAUCGCUAAAAGCAAUACGUUAUCAUCGUUCCGAUCGGAAUCAAAAAAACAAAACGGCUUAACUGAAUUUCGCGUCAUUAAUUAUUAUAUACGCGCGUAACGAAAUAUCGAUUAGUACGACUGUACCUAUUGUGGAUUAACUUACGCUGUUUUUGGUAAAUUAUGGUUCCUUUAUACUGUACGUAUAAUAUCGUCCUAAACGGUUUAAACCGUAACAAUCAAUAUUAACAUUUUCACGCGUGCCUAGUGUGUCGAGUUUAUGAACGGGAAUUACGAUAUUGUGAUUAUUCAAUAAUACACAAAUUAUAAUAACUACGUGUCAACUAUAUAUAAUAUACAAUAUCACUAUGACAAUAAGAUAUAAUACAAUGAUCACAAUAGCCAUACAAAUCGACCAGAAACUACAAACUGUGUAUUGCAUAAACGUAUACGUUUCUGGAAAUUACGUUUAAAACGAAAAAUUGACGUGUCCGUGUUUGAAAAUUCAAGGUGAGGAGGAGAACAAUAUAUUAUUAUUCAGUGUUCCUUUCAAUGCGAUUUUUCUUAAACCGUAGUCAAAAAACUACAUCAUUGAUGAGGAAGGACAAGCGUAGGAGAGAGCGAAACUUUCCUAUUGUUCUCCUUUUCAAAUACACUCCGAUUAAAGUGGAAUGAAACUUACCUUCAGUGUAAAAAUAACGUAUAAGUGAAUCAAUUAUUAUUCCAUUAUAUACAAUAUGAUAGCUUGCAAAAAUUAAAAUUGAAUGUAGACAAAAAAUUGUAUAUAAAAAAAAAAAAAAAAAAAAUGGCAAGAAAAACUGAUGUCGGGGAGAUGGAUACACCACUGUUGUAUGUAAGAAGUCGGGAAAGUAUGAUAAAAAAGAUAUUUAAUUUAUAUCUGUGAGAAAUUUUAAACCAUUUCUAACGAUAUACGAUUCAGAGCGAAGUUCGGUUACAUAUUUUUUGAUGAACAACAUGAAUUUAAACAUGUUAUUUAUGCAAAAACUAUAUUAGUCUCCAAAUUUAUGCAUAGAGCCCAGAUAGCAUAUCCGUAAUAAUAUUAUUAUAUUAAUAUCAAUUUUUCAUUAAAAAAAUUAUAUUAUUAAAUAUACAUUGAUGGUAUACCAAAAAAAUAUUUUGUAAAAUAAUAAUAAUAAUAAUAUAUUAUUAUUAUAUUAUUAAUAACGAAUUGUUGAAAUAAUAUUUUGAAUAAAUUAAUAAUAUGACGUCUCACUGAUGAAAUAAUAAAAUACAAUUUUGAAUAUAUAAUUAUAAUACUAUUGAAAUUUAAAUAAUUAUAUUAUGGUUCAAAAAAAUUUUUUUCUUACAAAAAAAAAAAAAUGUCAGAAAAAUAUAAUUUUUAAAAUAUUUAAUAAACAAAAAGCCAUGCCAACCGUUUUUUUAUAAAUAUUAUUUAAAAGAAAAAUAUUGAAAAAUAAAAAAUUGUGUAAAUCAUUUCGUUAUAAAAAUAAUAUUUUAUAAAUCUUAAUAAAAUACAUUUUUGCUUUCUGGGAAAAGACGGUAUAUUUACGAUUUUUCACAAAAUUUGAUAUUAAGACUUUUAUAAAAACAAAGGAAUAAAUCAUACUAAUUUUUAAUUUUUUACCGUUAAAUACAACUUAUAAUAAACUUUCUGUUCAAUUUUCCAUAAUUUUUGUGACAAUUUUAUCCAUUAAGUACUCACCAAUUAAAAGUUACGUAAAAAACUAGUAAAAUUAAUAUGUCUAUACAUAUUUCAAAAAUAAUUUAAAUCUUUUAUAAAUUACACCAUUCUAAAACGAGCAAAUAUAAGUUUUGUGACCAAAUUUCAAGUCUAUACAUGUAUUUUUUCCUAAUUACGAGAAUUCAUUUUAGUUUAUUAAAAGCAUUAAUUUCAUACAUUUUACUAUUCUUUAACUUUGCUUGAUUAUCUAAAAAAACUACAAGAAAAAUCAAAAAACGACUUUGUUACUCACCGACAACAUUAAUAAUUUAACCAGAAAGGGUCAUUUGUUUUUCUAUUGGAACAAUAUUCCUGGUUGAAAAAAUCGAACAUAUAUGAAAUAGUGUUCCAUAGAAUUUUUCAUUUUGUAUUUGCAAUUUUUUACUGGUUUUCACAAUUACUAUGAAGACUUAUCGGAAAAUAAAAAAAACGACUUUUUUUUCGGCAUCUAAAUCCAAAACACAACGAAAUCGGUUCUUAAGCAUUUCUUGAUUAAAACACAUAUUUUAAGUAGAAAACAUAGUCUGUAAAAAUUAAAAACAAUGAAAUCGGUAACGUCGCGUAAAUAUUUUCCGUUUUACUUAUAGUUUCCGAUUUUCCCCCAUUGUUUUGAAAAUUCCUUAGAAAUCCAACAGAUUAUCUCCCCGUUGAAUCGACCGAUUUAAUUUUUUUUUUUUUCAGUAAGGGCGCUCCGCUAGACGCACAGACGCGAAUAAAAAAAACCACCAGCAGAACGUACAACAGUAGCCUGACACUUUUUUCAAUAAAUAUUUUCGUGUGCCGACUUUCUCUGAUCAACACGGCGAACGUUUCAUGAACAUUUAAAAGCCUGAAAUGUUUUCGUAUAGCGUUUGCGUUUCGAUUCCGAUAAACGCCGGGCGGGACGCGCGAAAUCAAAUUCCGCACGCAAAUCGAGACCGUUUCGCGUGUCGCAGUCACAAUGCGUUUCGGCGUUCGGCAUUUGCGAAAACCGCGCGUUUUCGCAAUACCGGCGCGGCGGAUCCGUUACAAUAACAACAACAACAACAACAACAACAACAACAACAACAAUAAUAAUAAUAUGCUACAAUCGAACGCGGGUCCGAAUCGCGAGGACGGGGCGGCCGCUUCCAAUAACGUUAGACGCGUACGCGCGGCGUCCUGGUUCGGCAAUUUCACCGCUCUCGUGCGCCGGGGCACGGGCGCGGCGCCGUUAUCGCGAUCAAAUUCGACGGGGCGCGCGCCACCGGUAUUGCGACGGACGAUAACGACAAUAACAAAAUUCUAUUGACGGGAACGAACCCACGGCCCCCGGUCUCCGUGACGUACGACCGUGCGUGAUGAACGAACCGCGCGCCGGGCGCGACGCAGGACCGGAGACCGCGUAAAAUUACGCGAAACUGUGUGCGCCCGAGCGAGUAGAGACCGCCGCGUAUUAUUUCUACGUGAGAUAAGGCGCAUCCGGGUACCGAACGGGGAAUGGCCGGCCGCGCGGUGAUCGGGUAAAAAGUUUAUUAUUAACUUUCGAUUUUUUUUUUUUUGUUUUUUAUUAAUUUUACUUUCGACUCGGUUUUUAUUGGUGUUUACAUUGACUAAACGAACAACGAGUCGACAUCAAACCGUACUAGGUCGAAGUGGACCGUUUGUAAUUCCGGGUUGAGUGUAUAAAUGUUCACGGACAACAUUCGACGGUUCCGGAUUAAUAUACCCUCGUGUUUAACAUUGAUCGACACAAAAAAAAAAAAAAAAAACCGUCUAUGAUCUAGAUUAAUGUUUCAAAUAAUGUACUGCGAAACAUAAAUUCCGCAUUUUUAAAUGUACGACAUGAAUAAUUUGGAUCAUUGUUUCAGAACAAUAUACCGUGUUUUCCGAGAAAAAAAAAAAUUAUACGUCUUUGUAUAAAUAUAAUGGCUUUUUCGCAAAACUCAGAAUUUACCAAUUAUUUUAAACCGAUGACAAAUCCCAUUUGUAUUUAUUCGUCGUAACCCAGGUCCACGUUUCUAUGCACUUGUUUUUUUUUUUUUUUUAAAUUUUUUAUUACGCAUAAAGGGCCAAAACUUAUACGUAUGCAUGUUAAAUUCUGUAUAUUUUAAUUAAUUAGGCGUGUCGUAAUUUUUUUUUCUAUUCUGUGAAAUAAAACUGAGUUGAACACAGCAUGAGAAAGAACGCAUAGAUAUAUCAUCAUCCGGGUCCAAAGUAAUAGAAAGUAUGACUGAAAAAUAUAUAUACAUAAAUAAAAACUCGAACUAUAUCAAUUUUACUUUACGAUAAAAGUUUUUAUUAAAACUACGUGUUUAGACUUUCAAAACAUACAGUGACUGAUUUGUAUGUUUUUUUUGUUUUGUUUGUUUUUGUAUCAAUCGUUCUGUUAUUGAUUUUAUUUAUCUACGAAAUUCUAAGUACUAUCAAUUUAAUGGAAUACAUCUGUACUUAUUAUUAUUUUCAAUUCCGUGUAAUUAUGUUUCAUACAGACAUUUUAGAUAAAACAAUAUUAGUGGGUAUAUUAUCGUAGACUAACCAAAGGUGUAAGGCAUGUUAAUCAACUGUUUACAUGAAGAUUUCGUAAUGAAAGAAAAAAAAAUUAAAGAAAAAAUUAUUCUGAACGGAGUUCAGUUGAUAAUAUUACUUUGUCAACAAUAAAAAUAUGUCAUACUAUGGUAAAAUGAUAAUUAUAAUGUGUGUUUCCAUGACAAUAGUGAUUAUUUAAAAAAGAUUAUCUACAUAAAUAAAACAAAGUCGGGUUGGUUACACCAUUUACAACUCAAAAACUAAGUUUAGUUAGUUAUUUUUUUUUUUUAAUAUAAAUUAAUUUUGUAUUGUUUAUUAAAAUAAAUAGGUAACUAAGAUAUUUAUAACAUUUUAUUUUUGCUCAACUAACUAUGCUAAUAGUUAUCAAAAACGUACCUUUAUAAAUAAAUUUUUAAAUUUUUUUCCACAUACCUUUGACGAGUUCAUUGUUAUAAUUUAAUUUCUGCACAAUCGUAAAAUCCGAUUUGUGUAAAAAAAAAAAAUUGUUUUUUGAUUGAAUAAUAUGUAAAUAAUUUGUUUAAAUGGAACUAUUCAAACGAAAUAAAUAAUCAUUUUCUCUUUUUUUUUUUUUUAAUUAAAUUUUUAAUUUUUAUCGACAAAAUAAUAUUUUAAGUAUACAUUUUCUAUAGUAUUUAGGCGAUUUAAUAUUACAUCGUAACGCGUAAUGAUACGCGUACAUUGGUAAAUAAUAAAAUUUAAAAAAAUAUAUAAGUUCAAAUAUAUUUGAAUCCAUUUCAAUAAAAUGUAAAAGAAGCCCCCUGUGAUCGUAUCACAAUCCCAACUUGUAAGUAUUUGAUGAGCAAUCGUUAAAUAUUUUCAAAUCCAUGAUUAGUAUAGAGAACACAAUGACAAAAUAAGCGUUUAGUUUAUUACUAGAACUAUCAGUCUGAUUUAUAUUUUCCAAAAAUAUCGUACACCGUGUAUUUUUUCUAAUUAGUACUAUUAUUAAAACCGUUAAAUUAAGGAAUUUUGGUCUAUUUAACGAAAACCGUUUUUAAACUACCUGUGUCUGUUCCUGAUCCCCAUAAAUCUAUAAUCCUUAAGUUUAACGUGUAUGACGGGAAAAUUUUGAUCGUGAAUUGCGACCGGUAGAUGUUUGGAUGACAAACGACGAGGCACAGGCACGGGUGUACUUGAUUCGGUAUUUCUAUAUAACUCACAAUGUUUCCGAUUCGUCGGCAAGAUCUUAUUACGAAUAACAAAAUGUAACCGCCAAACGUGGCGAUUUAAAUUAACGGGACGGAAAAUAAAUAACAAAAGCGGAAACAAUAAUUGGAAUAUCCGCGUUUGUUUUGCGAAAACUAUGUAAUUUUUAUCUCACAGUCGGAUGUGCCAGAUUUGAGAUAUUAUCGGGCCCGUGAUUGAUUAGAAAGUUCAAUUGAUUACAAGACGUUGCGUUUGUAACGUAAAAGAAUCGUUCGGAGUUCCCGUCAAAACGGUAAUGACUUUCAAUAAUCAAUCAUACUUAACGGCCGUAUAAAUUAUGAUAUUAUUUUAUUUUACUUUGCCGACGAUUAUGCUUUAAAGCAUAACAAACCGUUGUAUACCACUUUUUAUUGGUGAUUAACAUGCGAUUUUCGGGUUUGGUAUCCGUCAGCGAUAGGAGAGACGGGGAACCUAACGGCCAGUAAGUGUAGUAGAUGGAAAGGAGGCGCGGGAUCAAUCAAAUUAAAUACUUAUAAAAAUGAAAAGAAUAAUUUGCAAAAAAACUGAUGGUAGUACACGGUUGCAAUUAGAAACUUAGUAAGAUAACGAUUGCCUAAGAAAAUCAAUUCAAAACGAAAUUCGGUUGAACGUGUCUUGAAAUUGUGCCUUAAAAUUUAAUUCAACAUUUACGCUUAAUCGAUUAUAAUUAGUUUAUAAAACGCUAGUAAAAGUAUACGGUGAAAAUAAUUACUUUACUAUUAUUUUUAACCGAAUUACACAGAAAAAACCAAAUCGACAAUAAUUGAGAAAUCGUUAUUGCCGUUUAUUUUCUUGUUCUUCCUUAGUUUUUACCAAUUGUUUAGAAAACUACUUAAGGGAAAUAAAAAAAAUUAUUCAAUUAUGGACCAAUCAGUUGAUAUUUUUUACCCGCAACCAACACUAAAAUUCACAUUCAGAAAAAAUGCCCAUGUUAUUGUUUAGUUACAUUACAUUCCCUGCGAGUACGUUUAGAAUCUAAAAUAAUCCGGAUUGUGGUUUCGGAACAAACUUUUUUCAAACCAUAGUCACUAUAAUUUCAUCGAGAGUAUAUUAAGCUGAAAUCAAAGUAUAAUAUCAUGGAUUUUUCGCAACUUGCACGUGUUUUAUAAUAGUGCGUAUUAUAAUAAAACGUCACGUUUGUCGAUUAUUUAUUUCUUCGGUUUUUCGAAAAGAUAAUAAUUUAUCGGCUCAAAGGCCCGGGUUGGCUUAAUGUGUUGCAGGAAAUAUUUCGAUUAAAAUGUCAUAAUAUUAGUAGUAUAUGUAUAUAUUUAUACACGAGGUAUUAAUUUAAGUGUUUUCGGCCGCCACAGGUAAGGUCAACGUGGUUGUUCUCGGUUGUUGUUUUUGACACGAGAUCCCUAUAAAGUUACCGUAUAGAGCAAGUAAUAAUAAAUGGCAAAUUUUAGUUCCAGGUUUACAUAACCCUUUCUUAACGAACCCACACCGUAGUAUUAUAGUCAGUUUUUGUAAAAAUACUUUUCAAAUUUCUUCGGAAUACUUAUGCGAAUUUUAUUCGAAAACUGUCUUUUAAAAGUAUUUGACUAUAAAGAUAAACGCUUAAUCAAAAUAUUCAAAAUAUUCUAAAAAAUAUAUUAUUUUAUUUACAAAUAUGUUUUUGAAUACUUUAAAUAUGCACGCCUUGAGAUAAUUAUUCAACAUUCGGAAAAUUACAAUUAAACAUUUAAACAUAUUAAUGGAUAUUUAUAAUUUAAAUGAAUUCAUGAAUUUCGGAUCUUUUGCAUUAUAAGUAUUAUUUAACUUUACAUUAGCAAAUAAGCUUAUUAUGCUAGCCGAAUAGAUUACAUAUGAUAGAGUCAUAGUAACACAUUUAGAAUGAAUCGUAUUACAGAUUCUAAUAACAGACUGUUAUAAAAUAUUAUUUCAUAAACAGUUAUAAUUUAAAAUCAUUGAAUAUAUUACCAUAAUAUAACAGUAACAUAAAUAAAUAUAUAUCUUGGUUUUAUAUUUUGGGUUAAAUUUACGAUAAACAUAUACUUUCUAAGUGUUUUAAACGUCUAAAAUGUAUUUUUAACAAUAUAAUUUACUUAAAGACGCAAUAUUAUCUCGAUUAUAACUCGUUAUGAUAAUUCGAUUUCUACGAUUGGAGGGGAUUAUGGGAUCUCAAUGAUGGUGGCGUCAACUGCCCGGAAAAAAAAUAUACAGUCAUGGAUGUAUUUUAUAUAUACACUGCAAUCGUUCUUGUAAGAACAUAAAAAAAAAAGUUUUUGGCGGGUAAAUGAGACGAAAACGAAAUUAUUCAUAAGGGUCUGCCUCCGCUAAGAGUUCUAAACUGCAAUUAUAACAUUAAACUAAAACGGUAAAAUUUAGUCGGUUUCUAAAGAUUAAAUGAAAAAAAAAACCUAAAUGAACCCAUUAUGUGAGGCGUCGAAGACCUUUUAUUUAUAAUUAUAUUUUAUAAAAGGGGAAAUCGUCUUCGUCCCACACCAAAUGCGCAUUCAAUAAGGCGUUGCGUUUGAGUAAAUUUGGCGAAAUUUUUUAAUACCGUUCAAAAAGAAAUAUGUAUUCCCACAAACAAAUUAUUAUUCACCCUCUAAAACUAGUAUAAACGUUAACAAAUUUUAACACAAAUUUAAAGAGGACAAUUUUUCGUAAAGUAAUUUUCACAAAUUAUCUGUAUCCCUAUUUUCAAACGUGGACUAUGGUCUAAUACAUUGGGUUCGUUCGAAUAUACUAUUUUUGUAACUAUGCAAACCCUUCAAAUGGUAAAUCGAUUCCGUGAGUAGUAUUUGUAUUAGUAUUAAUCCUAUUCCUUAGCCAAGAUAACCCAGAAAUCAGCUGAAAAACAAAAUUUACGCAUCUGUCAUUAGUAUUCGUUGGAUAUUUUAUAGAAUAACUGUUUUGAAUCUAUACGGUUUUUUUCUUAUGUAAAAUAAAGUACUACCACCCGGAUGAAAAAUCCGCAUUUUUCGAGGUACACCACUAAUAAUCUGAAAACCAAUCUAAAAAAAAAAAAAAAAAAACAAACUAAAUACACAAUCGUAGCGGAACUAAUUUAUCAUGUUACUUGUUACAUGGCUACUUUCAGAAUAGUCAGAAUCCAUAAGUCGGUUGCCAAAAAAUCGAGUUAGUCUAUUUAUCACAUGCACGCACGUGCUCCCGAGUGCCGUUUAAAAUCUAAUUUAAAGACACGCGUCUCACUGUCGCGCGUAUAAUAUUAUUUACUUAUUUAAUUCGGAAUGUUCUGUACGGAAACGCCUCGUGCGAACAGCGAGGAAAGUAUUAUAAUAUAAAUUUAUAUAUAAUUGCAUUUUCUUGUAUUAUAGUUUUGUUGUUAUCCCAUUUUGUGAUGUCUCGCAAAGGCCCCGGGGGUACCGAAAGGACUGCAAUCUCGGUCGCGGAUUAUCUCUGCCCGGCGAUAGGUUACGUGCGGGGCCCAAGUCGUUCCGACGUCAUCUCCACGGUAAUAGUAAUAAUAUUAUCGCUUCCGCAGAGAGGUCCCCGGCGCGUUAUUAUCGCCGAGCGUACCUCAAAGUUACCUCGAUAUCGUUUCCGGUAUCUUUUUUCAACGUGAUAUUUUAGCUAUGCGGGUACACGCAAAUAUAAUUAAUCGUUUGUAUCGAUUUAAUAUUCAAACGCACCGGAGACGGUUGCGGUAUAACGGGACACCCAACCGACCGACCCGUAUGAUACGAUCGAAUACGAUUUACCGAAUGAAAAAACACCGUCCGAACCGAUAUCGACGGGCUGGCGGUGCACCGGUGACGGUAUUCCCGGUGGCGGGAUAUCCGGACGACAACCGUCGCCGUUCCGCGGCGGACGUAUCAAUCGGUUUCGCCGGGACAUUUGCGCGUCAAUUCCGUAUGGACCGCGACCGGCGUUUGAAUAACCGUAAACAGCGCUUUUGUGCGCGUGCGCGUCCUGUCGGUACGCAAUAACCGUUGUCGUACGACGGCACACGGUGUGCGCACGGACAACCGUACACGGCGGCGCGGGAAAUCGAACGCGGACCGUUCGGCCGCGUUCGCUUAUUGCCGUCGCGCGGCCGUUAUCGCCGCGGCGGUUACGUGGGGGACGGGUGGGGCGGGGGCGAUACGGUCACGCGACACGGUGAUGCCGCGGCGCGUUGUUAAUGCCGGGGGAAAGCGCAAGCGGCCGCGCGGUGUGACUCGCCGGGCGCGCACCGGCGUACGUGCGCGGUGCGCCCGUACGCCCGAUUAUAGGCGAUUUAUUAUUAUGUAAUGCGAUUUUCUCCGGAACCCGGGCCGCCGUACCUGUGCCGCGCGGUAUUAAAAACCCCCGGGCCCGCGGUUUUACCGCGUCGUCGAUAAAAUAUAAUCGCGGCCGUAAAACUCCGCGGGACGGGCGCGAUCGUUUGUUCGCCGCCGCCGGUCUCGUAAUUGCAUUAUCGGAAACGCGGACGAGCGGUUACCGCCGAUAAGCCGAACCUCGCGCAACCCCCCUCCCCCCCCGGCUGCCGGUAACCGUGUUACCGCCGUACGACCGAACGGCCGCCGCGGAAUUGACGGGCCGAACGAGCGCAAUUAUCGUUGUCGUGCCCGGCCACCGAUUGCCGCCGUAAACCGCGUACAGGCAACGGCCGACCGACCGACCGACUCCCCCCCCCCCACACUCACCGAGCGUGAAGUUCUCGAGAGAGGCGAUUAAAAACGCGCGGUCCUCGGGAAAGGACCUCGCGUCCGACGGUACGCCGAUCGGAAUCUCGCGAGAAACGCCCGGCCCGUCCGGUUGCCGCGCGUCCGAUUACCCGUGACUCGUUUUCGGCGGCGUGUAUUCAAGCCGGACGAUCGGCGGGAUAUCCCCUUUACCUUUUCCCCGAUAUCUGUGCGAACAGCUCGACUGUCGAUUUGUCGAAUUAAACAUCUUUUUGUUUUUUUUUUUCACUUUUUUUAUUACGGAAAAUCGAAAAUUUGUCGUGUCCGCUUCCUUUAUGUAGUCAUUAACAACUUAAUACAAAAAAAAUACUACACGCAUAUUGCGUUCAAAUCGAAAUAUCCCAACCGAAGGACCGAAACAAACUAAUAAUAAUUAAAUUAUUACUGGUACGUAUGUAGUUAUUUGAUUUCGAUGACGAAAAUAAAAUGCGAAUUACUUACAAGCAUGCAUAAAUUAAAAAUCGAUGUUUUUUUUUUUUGUAAUCUAGAUUACAUUGGUAUUAUACAUUGACCCAUCAACCAAUUACAGUAUUUUCGUCCUUCGGAUUAAUUCUAAAUACGCCACCGAUUUGAGUACACUUCUGUAGCGAAUCUAAUAUCAUCCUAAUACCCGUAUAGAACCCAUGAGACGUUUCGAGAUACGGAUUCGAGAAAAUUACUAUACUUAGAGAAAUUAUUGUUUUCAUAGAACUAGGUCUAGUAUAUUAUAUGAGUAAAAUUUAUAAAGCUUGCCAUUCGAGAGAGUAAAUUUUAAAUGAUUUAUCCACGAGAUAUUAUUUUAUUCGUUGGUCGUAAAUUAUUUAAUAAUUAUAUGAGACAGAUUUAUAUACAUUUAAAAUUUGCAACUAACCGUCUAAAACCAUAAAUAAUAACCUUGAAAAAUAUUAAAAAGAAAAAAAAAAAAUCGAAAAUAAUAGAGAGAUCUAAAAUGCCCACACUCUAAUGGCUCUAAAUUAUUUAAUACAAUUUUCUAACAUUUCAAAAAUGAUUAACGCAACGUAAUUUGUUUUGUAAUAGCUAGUACGUAACACCUACGUACCUAGCAUAAAUAAUUAUUAUACAAAAUUAUAUUACUAAAAAAUUUGAUUAAAUAUUUUCUCCGAAGAGAGCCUUUAAAAGAGGGGAUUUUAAACCUUUUUACCAUGUUUAAAUUUUAAAUACUUUUUAAAAUCCUAUUUGAUAUUACUUUUUUUUUUUUUUGAGUUUAAUGGUAUAAUUAGUUUUUUAGUGAUUAAUAUUAAAAGUGCAUAGAAAUGACAAUGCAAAAAUUAAUCUGUUACAAACACGGUUUGUCAAAAUAUUUAAAAGUAAACAUGUUACAUUAAUGUAUAAAUACAAUACAUAUAUCGUCUAAAACUAUCGGAUAAAUAAUAUAACAUGGCUGUGCCCACUUGCGUGUGGUAAACGUAAUGACAGAUGAGAAACAUAUUGAUGGACUUCUAUUAAUAUUUUCAGGGACUUAAAACUCUCUCCCAUAUUUAACCCAUCGGCUCGCUCAUUGUGACGUUGUAAUAUGCGUAUUGCGUACGAAAUAAAGCCAUCAUAACAUCCCGCGAUGCAUGGCUAUG
Molecule: non-coding RNA, 48732 nt
Organism: Cinara cedri
Lineage: Eukaryota; Metazoa; Arthropoda; Insecta; Hemiptera; Aphididae
Source: the annotation of a GenBank genome assembly